RNAcentral lists this long non-coding RNA (74063 nucleotides) under Brachypodium distachyon (stiff brome). RNAcentral's name for it is "long non-coding RNA (BDIS_LNC002037)". Lineage: Eukaryota; Viridiplantae; Streptophyta; Magnoliopsida; Poales; Poaceae. The record is from RNAcentral.
AAAUAAAAAGUGUAUCUUAUACAAGUAGAUCAAUUAGCAGGGUAUGGGUAUCAGUCCCUUGAAAGCAAGCAUUAUUAGAGAAAUGAUGUGCUUCCGUUAAAAAUAGUUUCUCAGUGCCAAUACAAACACUUAGUAUUAGCACCAAACAUCAUCCUUCACGCCAAUUGCAGAAUAAAAAAAAAUUUGGUAACAAGACGGAGAAACAAUAUGAUUUUGUCAAGUACCAGCGCCAAUACAUAGUAGUUCGUUGACAAAUAUGUCGCAAGCUUCACACUCAGGUUCAUCAAAUGGGUCAAUAUUGUUCCUGCACAACAUUUAAACAUAUACAGAGAAGUUGGAUUUUGUUAAAACGUAGUUAAAUUUGUGCGUAAUUGUGGAAAUCAUUUUUUUUCUUACUAAUUUUUUUAUAAAAGGGGACAAAUGUAGAUGCAGCAUUUGGUUUGGACUUUGGACCAUGGAUCAAGAGAUAAGAUAAGCAUCUAAGUCCACAAAACACUACCAGGUUAUAUUGAAUGAGUUUACUGGUCAUAACAAGCAGAAUAGAUUUCUGGCACAUACAAGCAAAUGUGCAUAGCAUAAUACACAUGUUUUCUAUUGACCUCUAAUUCUAGGAAAUGUUAAUAAGCACAUGUCUACUACAAACAACUUACGUAAUCAGCCUUUCGUUAUGUACCAUUCGCGAAGUCCCUAAGAUCUAGAGGUGCCCCUUCCUGUUUCUCAUAAAUAUUCUCAGGCAACCCCAUUACACUGUAGCAUAUUAUACUAUUGUCCACUAUAAUUCAGAAUUCUACUAUAUAUGUAGUUCGCAAUUGUAAAUAUUCCCAGGAAUCAUCAGAGAUUCAGAGUUGUUUCAUUCACUGUGCUAAGAACAAAUUUUCAUGAAGUUUGAAUGAUGUAAAUCUUUCCAACCAAUUUGUCAAACUCUAAUCAAUUAAAUAGCAGAACCGAGAGCUAUUAAGUUGAGGGACUUCACUCGGUUAAAAUCUAUUGAAAAUAUCUUCCAAUAAUUUAUUUUUGAGAAAAUGCAAAAGCUUUCAUGAAGUUUCUAUCGAAAAAUUUCAGGCAGUUUUCAACUAGUAGAAUAUUUCAGGCUUUGGUAGGUCUUACAGUACUUCAUGUGAGGUUGCAUCACUAUCUCAGACGUUUCUAAUGCUUUACAUUUCUCUUCUUUUCCAGAUGCCUAGCCAGGUCAUGCGACUUAUGUGGUGCAUUGAUGUAUUGGGGUUUCCCAAUCUUCUUGUUCACGCCUGUGCCGGUAACUGGUAGCAUUGGUACCCGGAAUAUACCAGGUACAAGGAAUACCGUGACUUUCAGCAGAAACAGUACAGGUGCAAGGUCAGUAUCUGCCCCUUUCUGCGGCCAAAUGAUCAGUGGAUUAACAUCUUUUGGGGGUUGGUGUCACCAUAGACUUGUUGAUUUAGGAGCGUAGCAUUGAUGCAUAUGCUUAAUGUCACCCAAAAAAAUGCAAACCCCAUUUUAUUAAAUUUUGAGUUGAACUACAAGUAUGUGAUUUAUAAAAUUAUGAGAAUUUUCGGUAGCUUCCUACUAUUAUUGGAAGACUAGCAAACCAUUUUCAGUAGAUUUCAACAGAGUGAAGUAAGGCAAUUUUUAUAGAUCUCAGAUCUGCCGAUUAAUUUAAUUGGCAAAAUCCAUACAAAUCCAAGUUACUUAUUUUGGGACGGAGGGAGUAUUACAGUUACAAAUUGGGCAAGAUUUAAAUCAUUCAAACUUCAUGAAAAUUUAGGGAGAGUCUCCUGUAACAUUAGUGAAGCUUCCAUAAAUAUUUCAUGAUUAUUGAAGGAUAUUUAUCUUUUCUUUGCAAUUUAAGUGUGUUUUGCAAGUUAAAGAUGAGUUUUUAAUUCCCGCCAAUUUGUUUUCCUCGGAAUCAAACAUGAUUCUUAUGGAAUGCCAAUGAUUUGCAACAAGGUUCCUUUAUUUCAAGUUACAAAGCUAGAGAUGCUAAAACCAGCAUUGCAUCAUUUGUUAAAAAUACAAGCUGAUGGAAGUAUGAAGUACUCCGUCCUUCCCAUUUUAUAAGUCGUAUUAGAGUUAACAUAGAUACCAAGUGUCGGAGCACGGUCUCCGGCACCGGGGAUGCCGAGCACCCCCUUUUUGGUUCGGCGGAGGGCGAGGUGAUCGCUCCGGCGAUCACCGGCGUGGCGAUAGACACGAGGUGUAGACACACGAGUUUUACCCAGGUUCGGGCCACCCGGAGGUGUAAUAACCUACGUCCUGCUUUUAGCUGUAUUCACAAGUUUGAGUGCGUACAAGUCACCCGGGGAGUUCCCGGGCUGGCUACUUAGGUGAACGUUGUGCUAUGUUUUAAGCACUUGGGUUGGAUCUGAGCUGUACCCUUUGACCGGUGGCAUUGGUCCUCCUUUUAUAGACAAGGGGAUACCACAUGUGCAUAUGCAUGCAGGGUGACACGUUUCCUAGACGCGUGUCACGGACACAUGGAAUACAUUUUUACUCAUCCAUGCUGGACGCCAUGCAGCGCCCAGUCCACUGUACACGGUAGAAAAGAAAUGGUUCGUAGGAUAGUCGCCCUAGCCUUGCUCAGCAAGACUAGGCCUGCCGAUAAGACUCCUGUCGGUGCAUUAAAUGCACUGCGCCCGCCGUCUUGUCCCGUCUUCACUGUUCCGCGGGUCCCGCCUGCAUGCCCGAGCGCGGGUUGCUGGGGUGCACCCUCCCGGCUAGCGCACCUGCUAGUUGCUGGGAGGCGUUCCUUCGGCCUCCCGGGACCGGGGUUCCCGGGAGCACCUUGUACUCGGCCCUCGGUUUUAACUUUGCCAAAGGCCGUCUCCUCGAGGCAGGCUUCCCGGAUUCACCGCUACCCGGGUAGCCUUCCUAAUGGGGCAUCGUCACUGGCGACACACGCGUCCCGUAUCAGUGGGACCCCGCGGGCCACUGGUACGACAGUAGCCCCCGGGCGUGUGCCGGCAGCCUUGAAGCUCCCUGCAAGUGCUAUCCUCGGUCGGUUGCCGGGCUACGCCCUAUCCGACGCGUGGGUCCCAAAGGGAAAACUCCCUGGCACCCGGCCUCGCGGGCCGCAUUUAUAGUUCCACUUCUGCAAACGAAACGGUCGGGCGCACGAUUUCAUGCCUUAUCUCCCUUAAUCACCAGAGAGUUAAGGCCACGUCGCACACCCCCCUCUUAAUCUCUGAUUCUUUAGGGCUCUUUACUGUCGAUCGUGGGGGUGUCCGUUGCAGUCUGCCAGCCCCGACAAAUCCAAGGCCGGCGGCGGGCACUCCCCAUUGUCUCUCGCUCCUGCCAUUGCCUCCUCCCAAGCUCCCCGCGCCCCAACUCCGACCAAAUCACCUCUCCACCUCCGCCGAUGUCUUCCAAGGGCCAAAACCGUCCCAAGGGGAGCACCAGCAAAGGGGAAUAGCGCAAAAGGCCGGCAAGAAGGAGCUGUCGGACAGAGCCCGGAAGGAUGACGAAAUGCGGGCUAAAUUCGCUUUCUUCUCCCCCGGGUACAACAGCGAGGGAGUCGACAAGCUAGUCUUGGCGCUCGCCACCAAGCACAACGAGCACGGGCCGACGCGGGUCCUCCCUGUCGGUGCGAAGCACGACGGGCACUACUUCCGGAUCUUCGGGAGGUUCAUCCUUGCCGGGUUCGUGCCGCCGCACUCCUACUUCCUUUCAGCCAUCAUGGAGACCUACGGGCUCAUCAUGGCGCAGCUUCACCCCACGUCGUUCUUCACAUUGGUUGUUUUCCAACACCUCUGUAUCGCGUUCGUGGGGGUGAUGGCGUCGGUGGCGCUAUUCCGCCACUACUACUACCCGAGGGGGGAGAAGAAGGCUCCCCUGUCCUCGGGGGUAGUGUUCCGAUUCCGUGACAGGAUCAAGUCGGAGUUCAUCGAGCUGGGGAAGAAAAAAAUCGAGCAUGAAUGGCGCUGCGACUGGUGCUGGGUGCGCACUGAUGAGCUCCAGGAGUUCCACGAGGAGCCCCUCGAGCCUUCAAAGGGCUCUGAGGACUGGACGCUUCGCGACCAGAAAGACGAGGAGCUGGCCCCAAUCUAUGCGAAGAUCAAGGUGCUCCGCGAGGCUGGGCUCACGGACACGGAUGUGGCGCGCCCCUUCAUCGGGAGGCGCAUGGCCCCCCUGCAGCGGCGCUCGCAUCCGGCGUGGAUGUACACCGGGGCCGGCGACCGGACCUGGCUGCAACGCACGGACCUCCUCUCGGAGGAAGUGCAGUUCUGGGUGAAGGGUAUCACCGGCGAGGACGAACGUUACCGGCUGCCCCCGCUUGGAGCGCCCCUGCUCCACGCCGGGAUCCUGAACCCGGGAGCCCGGGAUCUCCCACUCUGCGACGAGUGGGGGAUCGUGGAGGACCCCUCGGCGCAACCCUCCCCCCCGCAGCCCAAGCCCUAGAGGGGCAAGGAGCCGGCUGCCGGCUUGGGGAAAGGGGGCCAAGGCCAGACCUCCGCCAGGGCAGAGGGCUUGGACUCCGACGACUCCUCGUUGGGCGUCGGAGGAGACCUCAGCGACGACGAUGCUCCCCCGGCAGCCAGCGGGGUCGCGUCAAAGGAGGACGACGAGGAAGACGACGUCCCCCUGGUGAGGCGGUCCGCGGCAGAGCGGGCGAGCAGGCAGGAGGCCAGCCCGUAGCCUCAGGAGCCUCACGGCGACGCGGCUGGAGCAGCCGCCCCGACCACCCCGGUGACUCCAACAGCUCCCCCCGUGCGAAGCGGCCCUCCGGCGAGGAACAUCCUGGCGGACAGGGUGCUCAAGCUCAAGCCUGCGGGGUAAGUCCAAGGUUGUUCAGAACGGCUUUGACUUCGCGAGAUUAUUUUGUGCCUGACAAACCUAUUUUUUUUGCGUUUUCCAGUUCGUCGAGGAAGAGGGGGCAGACCAGUGCGUCGCCGGUAGCCCCAACCAAGAAGCCUCGCCCGGCAUCGGGCGGCGGCGACCAAGCGUUGCUGACGCAGCGGCUAUGACGGCGGCAGCGGCCGCUGGGGACCCAAGGAUCCCUGAUUCGAGCUCGCAGGGCACCGGCCCGGCGGCAAGUACGUGCAAGUUCGAACACUUCCUUUACCUAUUCGCGCGCGCCUGACGCAGGUGCCGUUCGUGCGGCCGCCGGAGGGGUUCCGGCUGCGCCCGCGCCUACAGAGGUGCGGGUGAUCGACCUCACUGGCGAGGACGACGACAAAGGUCCGGCGGAGGUUGCCUCCGUCGGAGCUCUUCAGCAAUCAGUCACGGCGCCUGCCAGGGCCGUGAUUGCUACCAUAGGCAACGCCACGCAGGGGGCGCUGUCUGAGGCGGGCGACACAAAGCAGCCUCCACCAGCUGGGGCGGGUGGUGGUGAUCUGGAGAAGCCCCCGAGCCCCCAACUUGCCCCUUCGGACGAGCAAGGAGCAGCGGGGCCUGGCCAGGCCGGGGGCGCGCCAUCAAAUCCCGACGCGCCCUCGGGGUCGCAGACGGUCGCGGCAAGGUCCUCCUCCUCCGCCGGAGCCGCCUUCAGCCCGGGAGCAGGGGAGCUCGCCAGGCGGACUUGGGGUCGGAUCACCUUCGACCCCAGCGUGUUCCAGCAGGGACACCAAGUGAUUGACAACAUCCAGCAGCAGCAGGGGAUGUUCGUCGAUUUCUUCAACGACGCGCAGCAGCACCAUGCCCGCGUAGUGGCGGAACUGGGCGCAGCGCGACGCGAGGCGGAGGAGCAGCGCACCGAGCUGCAGCGGCUCCGGGAGGAGCUCCAGCAAGCGCGGCAAGCCGGAGCAGCGCCUAUCGUGCCAGGGGUGCCAGAGGCGCAGGUCCUCCAGCAGCUGUGCGAUUUCCAGCAAGAGCACCAGCGGGAGCUCGAGCUGGAAAAGCCCACACACACCAAGAGCGAGGAGGAGCACCAGGCGGCCCUGGACUCGUUCCAAGGGCGUCUCCGAGAGAAGACGGACUUACUGUCCGGCUACAUCCUAGAGAUCCAACGUCUCCGCCGCGAGGUCGGAGAGCUGGAGACGGCGGCUGCAACAGCAGCCAAAGCCUCCGCGUGUCGGGAGAAGGAGCUGCAUGACCAGGCCCGCUCCCGGGAGCGCGAGCUUGCGGGGCCGCUUAAGGCCGCCCAAGAUGCCAGCUCGUCCCUUCAAGGCGAGCUAGACACGGUGCGGCAGGAACUCCGGCUGGUCGAUGACGACAACACCAGGAAGGCGUCGGAGAUCGGUAGGCUGAACUCCGAGUGCCGCGAGCACAAGCUACAGGCCCAGGAAGCUUGCGGUGCGUGCACCGAGCUGCGGGCCCGCAGGACAGGGGAGGUGGCCAGGCUGAAGAAGCUGGCCGACUUGGCGGUGGAGGCGCUGCAGGGGUUCGACAUCCCUGUGGCUUCCUUCGACGGGACAGACAUCGCGAGCUUCACUUCGUUCUUCGCGGAUUUCGUCGGCCGGCUGAGCGGCCUGCAGAGCUGUGUCACGGCCUUCGGGGACCGGCAAGUCGGCCUUGCGGCCGAGCAGGUCGCCGGGCACCCUGACUUCCCGUUCGAGUUGGUCUUCGACGCCUGGUCUGACGAGGAAGAGGUCAAGACCCACCGGGAGGCGGUGCAGGGUGUCGUGGAUGAGAUGGUGGCGCAGAUGCAGGGCAAAGGUCGACGAAGAGGAAGCCGCCGAUGCCGAGGAUGCCCCUGACACCGACGUAGCUGCCCCGGGAGCACCUCCCACAUAGUUUGUUUCCUUCCUUUUUAUUUUCCUGCAAGCGGCGCAUGGCGCCUUAGAGCUUUUUUAUGUUAUCUUUCCCUUGUCAUUAUCAGUGUUACUCGUUAACUCGUUUUGCUCAAGCUUCAAUAUAUAUCCAAUGCUACUUUCUCUUGCUUCUUUGCCUAAGACUAGCUUGCCGGGGAGGGGCUUUGUCCUUCUCGUGCUUUAGCCUUGCGUAUUCGGGGACUCGCCAACUACAUGCGUAGCCAGACUAGGGACCCGGGACGGACCCGUGAUGCCGACCUAGGACCAAACAUCAGCGGCUGGUCACUCCAUCUGCGGGUUAACUACCCCAGCGCGCACGCCUCCGGGACGGACCCGCGAGCCACGUGUGGGGGGCGUCCUCACCCCGCAAGCGUCCUUCCCACGCUCCAGCAACACGGGGACCGACCUUACCUCAGCAAGCCGCGUUACUAAAGGAAAAACCAAGGACCCAAAUGAGAUACUUAGCUUCCCAUUCUUUUUGGACUCGCUGCACCUUGUUGAGAGCCAUGGCAAGGACGCGGUGGCCGUGCACCCUCCGGCAGCACCCUUGGGGCCGCGGAGGCAUGCACCACCACCGCGUCUUUACGACGCCUCUCGCUUGUCUCAUCACCAUUUCUGGUGUCGUUUCGUAAAAGAUGUGGCAGGGCCGCGAUGGUGAGAACACCCUCAGCGACAAGCGCAGAGGGAUGGACCACCAUCGCCUCUCUGCGACAUCCCUUGCCUUCUUGCCCGUUGCUCGUGUUGCACUUGCUCUGGUUUCCUUAAAUAGCCAUAGCGCUGCUCUUGUCUCCACACGCCCGGGACCACCCGUCGCCACGUGGAGGCCCUGGCCUUGUCUCAGUUUCCUGCACCAAGCCUCGAAGUAAUUGCUAUAUAUGUACAACUUACUCGCAAGACGACGACACCCGUGACCACCCCACGAGCAUCACAGUGUGCCUUUGCCUUAUCUCUAUCCUGCAUGUCAGAUUCUUGCAGUGCCCAAGGUACAUAGCAAAAGAAAAUUUUGAAAUGUACGAAAAACAGUAUAAACUGGAUAACCUCCAGCUUCCCAGGCCCCGGGCACAGAAGAGUCGACCUCAAACCUGGUUGUGAGCAUCUUUACAUUUCCACUGUGCCUCGCUUGCACGUAGCACGUUGCGUACGGGUCCGGCAACUGCUAGACCUCGUUCCGGGGCGUCCCGGCAACGAGCUUGGUUUUCAGGGUUCCGGCAGCCCCCUGCUCACAGCCAAGGAUGAGGAGACAAUUCUGUGCACCCAGAGCAGGAGACAGAAGCAUUCACAAUCAACAAAGCACAAUAUUUACCAAUGCAACACUUAUCUUUAUUCAACUUUGUGCUAGCGGAUUAUAAUCAGGCCUUGCCCAGCUUCACUAGCUUAAAGAGGCAUGCUGCCGCAAUGUCACCCGUGGGUAAGGCGCCACCGUUUCACGGGUAGAACUUGCGUAGGUGCUCAAUGUUCCAACAAUUGGGCACCGGCAAGCCUUCUUCGGUUUCCAGCCGGACAGCCCCCGGUCUGGUCACCUGGACUACCCGGAAAGGGCCUUCCCAGAUUGGAGUCAACUUGUUCUCGGCCUUUGUUCCUUGUAUCCGGCGCAGGACGAGGUCUCCAACCUUGAGCCCCCGGGGACGGACUCUCCUGCCGUGAUAACGACGGAGUCCCUGCUGGUAGCUUGCAGCUCGUACAGUAGCCCGGCAUCGAAUCUCCUUGAUGAAGGUAAGGUCAUCAAUCCUCUGCGUGUGUUGGCUCUUGUCGCCGUACGCAAGGUGACCCAUACUUGAGCUCGAGGGGCAGAACACCUUCUGCCCCGUAGACGAGGGUAAACGGAGUUUGACCCGUCGCCCGACUCGGUGUGGUCCGUAGUGACCACAGCACGGGUUGGAGUUCUUCAACCCAAUGUUUCCCGUGGCCCUUGAGCUUGUCAAAGGUUCUCUUCUUGAGCCCCCGCAGCACUUCUGCGUUGGCUCGCUCAACUUGCCCAUUGCUCCUCGGAUGAGCAACAGAGGCAAAGUGAAUCUUAGUGCCCAUGUCCUCGCAGUAAGCUUGGAACACCGCACUAGUGAAUUGCGUGACGUUGUCGGUGAUGAUGCCGUUAGGCACACCAAACCGGCACACAAUGCCUUUGAAGAACUUGACGGCUGCCUGUGCCGUGACGGCUCGGACAGGCUCCACCUCGACCCACUUCGAGAACUUGUCGAUGGCCACAAGCAGGUACUCGUAGCCACCAACUGCUCUCGGUAGCUUGCCGACGAUGUCCAGCCCCCAGACCGCGAACGGCCACGAGGAUGGGAUGACUUGCAGGGCUUGCGCUAUUGGUUGCUCUUCUUGGCGUGAAACUGGCAUGCUUCACAUGUCUUGACUAAUUGUUCGGCAUCGGCUAGUGUUGUCAGCCAAUAGAAGCCGUGCCGGAAUGCUUUCCCAUCUAGUGCCCUGGAGGCCACAUGGUGUGAGCAUGUGCCUCGAUGUAUAUCUUCCAGCAACGCGCGCCCUUCCUCCUGGGGCAUGUAGAGGAGCAUGACUCCGUUAGGACGCCUCCGGUAGAGUUCUCCGUCCACCAGGACGUACAUCUUAGCUUGUCAGGCUACUCGCUCCGCGGCAAUGUCUUCUUCUGGGAGGGUCCCGUCCCUGAGGUAGCGAAUAAUAUUCGUCCCCCAGGGUGGUGACUCCCGGCUAGUAUAUGCCACCAACUUGGCGGCACAGUCCCCUGCAGCUGCAGGGUCACCCUGUGUUGCCGGAGGGGCUUCCCCGGCAACCGUCUUGGGGUCGACAGAGGGCUUCGACUGCCUCUGCACGAACACCACAGGAGGCACCUUGCUGCGACAGUUCAUCCGCAACAGAGUUGUCCUUGUGCUUUAUGUGCUCAAAUCGAAGUGCUUUGAACUUGGACUCCAAUUUUCGCACUUCCUCCACGUACGCUGCCAUCUGACGGCAGUCAUAGUCCUUGUUUACCUGGUUGAUCACGCGUUGGGAGUCUCCGCGAACAACCAAGCGCUUGAUGUCUAGGGCGAUUGCCACGCGUAGCCCGGCAAGCAGUCCCGCGUACUCUGCCGUGGAGUUGGUGAAGUCGAGCUGUAUCACGAACUUGAGCUGGUCUCCAGUGGGCGACUCGAUCACCACUCCGGCACCGGCGCCCUGCAAGCAGAAGGCGCCGUUGAAGUACAUGACCCGGUACCCUUCGUCCAAUCUGCCGGGAAGGCUCGCCUCCGGCUCUUCUCCCUCUAUGCCUGUUGACGUCCACUCUGCGACAAAAUCAGCGAGAGCGGUGCUCUGGAUGCUCUUGGUGUUGGCGAAACGCAGCCCGAACUCUGCCAGCUCCAUCCUCCACUCGGCCACUCUCCCGAUGGCUUCACGGUUGGUGAGGGCCCUCUCUAAGCAGAACCCCGACACCACCGUGAUGAUGUGCGCCUAAAAGUAAUGGCGCAACUUCCUUGAAGCGAGCAGGAUCCCAAGCAGAAACUUCUGGACCUGCGGGUACCGCACCCGGGCAUCGCGCAGCACCGUGCUAAUGAAGUACACGGGAUGCUGCACUAGCCGCUUGCGGGGGGCAGCCUGCGUGGGCUGUCCCUCAGAUCCAGGGGCAGAGGAGGUAGCCGGGGGUUCCUUAGGCUCACCUGGGGCUCCCCGGCCCUUCCGCCUCAGCCCCCGGGACUUGCUCUUCCCUCUCGGCAACGAGCACGGAGCUACCUACCUGGUCUGUCGCUGCUAGGUACAGCAGCAAUGGCUCGCCCGGCUUGGGGGCGACGAGAACCGGCGGCGACUUCAGGUACCUCUUCAAGUCCUGGAACGCCGCUUCCGCCUCGGGGGUCCAACUGAUUGGACCCUUCUUCUUCAUCACCUUGAAGAAAGGUAGGGCUCGCUCGCCCAGCCUUGAGAUGAAACGCCCAAGCGCCGCAAUGCACCUGUUGAGGCGCUGGACAUCUCUAACCUUGCGAGGUGCCUCCAUCUUCUCGAUCGCCUCGAUCUUCUGUGGGUUGGCUUCGAUUCCCCUGUGAGAGACCAAAAAGCCCAGCAAGUGUCCCGAGUCCACACCGAACGUGCACUUCUCAAGGUUAAGCUUGAGCUUGAUCCUGUGGAGGUUGUUGAACGUCUCCUGCAGGUCGUCGACGAGCGAGUCCCUACGCCGCGACUUGACGACGAUAUCGUCCAUGUAGACCUCGAUGUUCCGGCCUAGCUGGGGUCCCAGACACUCGUGCAAUGCGCGCUGAAAUGUCGAGCCCGCGUUCUUCAACCCGAAAGGCAUCCAUGUGUAACAGUAGCAGCCAACCGGGGUGAUGAACGUUGUUUUCUCCUCAUCUUCGACUGCCAUCUUAAUCUGAUGGUAGCCGGAGAAGGCGUCUAGAAAGCACAAAGACUCACAACAUGCCGUAGAAUCUACUAUUUGAUCGAUACGGGGUACUGGGAAGGGGUCCUUUGGACAUGCACGGUUAAGAUCAGUAAAAUCUACACACAUGCGCAAUUUAUUUCCAGCUUUAGGGACUACAACAGGGUUUGCUAACCAAGUGGGGUACAACACUUCCCUGAUUGCCCCGGCGUUCUUGAGCUUCUCCACUUCCUGCUGGAUGAAGUCCUUGCGUUCAUGUGCUUGCCAGCGAACCUUCUGCUUGACGGGCCGCGCGCCCGGCCGCACCGCCAGCCGAUGCUCGAUCACCUCCCUAGGGACUCCGGGAAGAUCUGACGGCUCCCAAGCGAACACGUCAGCGUUCUCCCGGAGGAAGGCGACGAGGGCGCUUUCCUAUUUGUCGUCGAGGCUCGCACCGAUGGAGACGGUGCGUGCCUCGUUGCCAUCAUGCAGGGGUACCUUCUUGACCUUGGUGCCCUCCUCCUUCAGCUUCGUGCCCUUGCUUACGCGCGGGCUGGAGCUGGAGCUGCCCCCGGCAUCCUGCCCGGGAGCGGCUCGCGCCUUCUUUUGUGCGGGUUGUUCACCCGCAAGUGGAUCCUCUCUCCCGGCAACGUCGUAAUCGCCAGGAUCCGCCACUGCGGAGGGCUUCAUGACCUCGCCCACGCACCAAGCAGCGUCCUUCAGGUCGCACUUGAUGGAGAGAACGCCGUGUGUUGACGACAUCUUCAUCACGUCGUAGGCGCCAUGCGUUGCCGCCAUGAACUUGAUCAGCGCUGGCCGAUCAAUGAUCCCGUUGUACGGCAACGGGGUGUGAGCCACAUCGAAAAUGAUGUGCUCAGUCCGGAACGCUUCCCGAGAACCAAAGGUCAUCGGGAGCAUGAUUCGCCCCAUGGGCUGCACCACUCCGGGGUUGAUCCCCCGGAACGGGUCGGUGGGCUUCAUCUGCUCCAGGGGCAGCUGAAGCUUUUCCACCAGCUUGGCGGACAGCAGGUUGAGGCUUGCCCCGCUGUCCACCAGAACCUUGGUCACCGUCACAUUGUUUAUGAUCGGUGACACCAAGAGGGGUAGCACCCCUGAACCCAAGGGACGGAUCAGGUGAUCGUCCGAGUUGAAUGUGAUCGGCACAUGCGACCACCUCAACGGCUGCUGCGCCACCACGCUGGGGAGGAGGGCGCAGACCUCACGCGUGAGCCGCUUCACGGUAGCGUGAGACGUGAGAGCAUAUGCUCACCCGUGGAUGCAGGCGACGUCGCGAGGCUCCUGGAAUCCGGGCUCGUCGGCGUCGACGUCACUGUAGACAUCCUCGCGCUGCUUAGCGCGAGGCUUGUCACGUCCCCGGGGAGGCCGGUCCUUGCUGCCGCGGGCUUGACCGCGACCCCCCGCGGGCUCUCCUUUGUCGCCGCCGGCUGCGCCCCGGCCUGCUCCGCCGCGAGGGUUGUUCGGGCAGUCCCGAGAGAGGUGCCCGAUGUCCCCGCAGUUGAAGCAAGCCCCGACAGCACGGCGCUCCUCGUGGCGCUACUCGCGCUUCUCCUUGAUGGUCUGGAGAGUGCGGCAGUCCUGCGCGUCAUGGGUGGCGUAUGUGUGGAUGGGGCAGCGCGCGGCCGUUGGCGGCUUGCUGCCCGAUGCUCUCGCCGACGCCGCCUUCUUGGCGGGCCUCUGGGGAGCCCCUGGCUCCGCGGCAAGCACUUGCUUCCCGCCGCAUUUCUGGGAGCUCUUCUUCCCGGAGCCCUCCGGUAGGUUUUCCGCUGCUUUGGCGGCAAGUUCGGGCGCCAAGCGUCCUUCCUCGGCCAUCGCGCACUUGUGCGCGAGAGCGUAGAGAUCUCUUGUGGUCCGGAUCCGGUGCGUGUUGAGCUUCUCACGCAUCUUCGGGUCUCGGACGUUGAUAGCGUAUGUGUUGAUGAUGGCGGCCGCUUCCACCUUAGGGAUGGAGUAGGAGAGGUUGGAGAACCUAUUGGUGAAGUCCAGCAACAUCUCCCCCGGUUUCUGCACGACCGUGUGCAGUUUCGCCAUGGUUCCCGGGCACUUGCAGCUACCCUGGAAUACGUUCACGAACUGCUCGUGCAGGUCAGCCCAAGAGGCUAUGGACCCGGCGGGCAGGUUGAGCAACCAAGUCCUCGCUGAUCCUUUGAGGACCAUCGGGAACCAGUUGGCCCUAACCUUAGCGUCGGCGCCAAUGACGUGCAUGCCCAACGUGUAGGUCAGGAGGAAAUCCUUGGGAUUCACGGUCCCGUCGUACGUCCCGAGCGUCGGCGCUCGGAACUUGCGGGGCCACAUCACCCGGCGCAGCUCGCGAGUGAACGCGGGGUAGCCGUCCUCGGCGCCCAUGGGAGCAUCUUCCAGCUCCUUUGGGCGCUGGCGUUCUGCUUCACGCCGACGCCUGCGCUCCAAGCGCUGGCGGAGGUCUUCCUGCUGGACGGCGUUCAGGACGCCUCGCGCGUCACCCCGUGUAAUGGUCGGUGAUGAAUCCGAGCCCCCCAUGGGAUCCUCACCUCCUUGCCCUCCCACCGGGGGAGGGUGUUCUCCGUGUCUUGAGAUGCGGGGCGUGUCUCCGCGUCCCGGGUUCUGCCCCCGGCCUGAAGCAGCCGGGGCGCCCUCGCCUUGCGGCUGCUAGGCGGCGAGUGCAAGGAGCGUGUCUAGUUCCGCGUUCCAUGCUUCGUACGCUGGCGUGCCUUGCGGUGGCUCGUAGCGUACCAUGACACGCGCAGCUAUGAUGGCUUCCGCCGGGGUUUGGGCGGGAGGCUGCCGAUUCUCUAACCGGCUGCCCUCCGCCCUGUUACCCGGUUCCCUCGAGUGAGUGGGGCGGGACUCCGUCGGUGUCGCACGCGACGCGCUGUGCUCAUGGCGCAGUUGCCGCUGCGCAUCGCGGGCCGGCGCUGGGAACCGCAGGCCCCCUCAGCCGGUUGUCCGCCGACGGCCGAGGGGGUGGUGGCGGCAUCUGCGACUGCUUCUGCGCCAGGUAGGGUGCUUGUGACGCGCGCGCAGCGUCAUGGGACUGAGUGCGCAUGGCGAGAGUGUCGUGCAAGUCGACCCGGGGCUCGUCUGCCUUCUUGGGCGGCAUGGCGAGCUAGUCGUUGAAGAUGUCGUAGGCGAAGAAGCCGGUGUUGACGACGAUGACGCCGGCGUUCAACUGAAGCUUUCCGCACGCCCCCUACCUGGCGCGCUAGAUGUCGGAGCAUGGUCUCCGGCACCGGGGAUGCCGAGCACCCCCUUUUCGGUUUGGCGGAGGGCGAGGUGAUCGCUCCGGCGAUCGCUGGUGUGGCGAUAGACACGAGGUGUAGACACACGAGUUUUACCCAAGUUCGGACCACCCGGAGGUAUAAUACCCUACGUCCUGCUUUUAGCUGUAUUCACAAGUUUGAGUGCGUACAAGUCACCCGGGGAGUUCCCAGGCUGGCUACUUAGGUGAACGCUGUGCUAUGUUCUAAGCACUUGGGUUGGAACCGAGCUGAACCCUUUGACCGGUGGCAUUGGUACUCCUUUUAUAUACAAGAGGAUACCAAAUGUGCCUAUGCAUGCAGGGUGACACGUUUCCUAGAUGCGUGUCACGACCGCAUGGAAUACAGUUUUACUCAUCCAUGCUGGACGCCAUGCAGCGCCCAGUCCACUGUACACGGUAGAAAAGAAAUGGUUCGUAGAGUAGUCGCCCUAGCUUUGCUCAGCAAGACUAGCCUGCCGAUAAGACUCAUGUUGGUGCAUUAAAUGCACUGCGCCCGCCGUCUUGUCCUGUCUACACUGUUCUGCGGGUCCCGCCUGCAUGUCCGAGCGCGGGUUGCUAGGGUGCACCCUCCAGGCUAGCGCACCUGCUAGUUGCCGGGAGGCGUUCCUUCAGCCUCCCGGGAACCCCGGUCCCAGGAGCACCUUGUACUCGGCCCUCGGCUUUAACUUCGCCAAAGGCCGUCUCCUCGAGGCAGACUUCCCGGAUUCACCGGUUCCUGGGUGGCCUUCCUAACAGGGCUUCGUCACUGACAAUCCACGCGUCCCGUAUCAGUGGGACCCCGCGGGCCACUGGUACGACACGAAGGAAGGCUUGAAUCGCUUGAAAAAUGGGCAAUCCUUUAUUUAUUGCUGGGCUCAAAACGCUUUGGGGCAAAUCCCUGUUAUUAAUUUAAUAGCAUGCAUGCACUAACUUUCCGGCCACAGCGCACGGCAUGCAAAGCCGCGUCCCAUCCAUUCUGUCCAGUGCAUGCAGCGACUAAACAUCCAGUCUAGUGGAAACCGAAGCAUUAAUUCGAUGCAGUGUUAGGUUACCUCCUAAUAAGACAACUAAUAUGGGAAAAACAAAAAUCUAAUACGACUAUUAAAAUGGAUGGAGAGAGUAUCCACUACCUUGCAACCAUCAUUCCAUUGUUACCAGAUAACAUCUGUGUGAAACGAAGCAGUGUGACUAGUAGCAAAAUGCAAACAUGAUAAUAUAACUUGGAUUUCAGAUGAAGAAGAGUGAAAAAGAAGAGACAAACAGAACUGAAUACAUGCAAUUCUACAUAUAUAUUCUAUUUUUGUCAGUAACUAUGUUCCCCUCCUCUACAUCAGGGGUACUGAAUAUUUUUUUGCCAAGAUAAAUUGUGUCUAAAAUUGUGGGCAUUGUUUAUAGGAACCGUUGUAGUUACAAGAACAUGAUAGGAAUUACAAAUUAACAGUGUAUGCUAACAAAUCAAACAGAAGAUUUUCAGAAACCCUUAAGACCACACUAGGGGCUGUGGGUUGUGAUGGUCCGAUUCGAUUAUUACUUACUGUUAUUGCUAUAGCAGCACUGAAACUGAGCGCCCAAAGCAACUUCUACGAAACACAGGCAUCUAGCAAGCAUAGUUACCUCAUAGGCCUCAAGUACUCGUCUCAUUAUCAAAUUUGCGCUCUCUUUGUCCUUGCAGACAUCAGGAUGGAACUCCUUAACCUGUCACAAGAGCUCAGUGUUAUGUCACUUGGAACAAAGGUUGGGGUGAUGAGCUAGGACAAAAACACAGUAUGGGACUUGUGGCUUAGGGUAUGGAAAUGUAUCAUGCCUACAGUAGAGUCAAGUUUUACAUUUUCUGUGCGAAACGACUUGACACAGACCAAAUAUUUGGGAGUUGGACUGUUAAACUAACUUCACCGCCAUAAUAUUAGGGGGUUGGAUAGUUUGUGUGUAUUCUUCUACUCCCUCCGUCCAGAAAUAAAUAACGUGGAUUUGUAUAAGAAUCUAUACAAAUCCACGUCACUUAUUUCGGAACGGAGGGAGUAUAAGUUAUCGGUUUUGUUAUUUCUUAGGCGACUGAGAAAUAACUAUUUUAUUAGUCGAUAUAACAAUCUUUUGUCAUGCACUGCAUAGUUCCAAAGUGGUAAUUUGGGGAUCUCCCAAUCCUCACCCAACAUAAUAAUUCAAGGAGACUACUUUAGUAUGCUUAAAUGGUAGACGGAUGUGAGCUAAUUCCUUCAGGUAUAACGAACAUUUAGUUCUGUAAUUUCUUGUAGCGUGCAAGUACCAAACAGCUAAAGCUGCUGAGGCACCAUAAAAACGAGCGGUUCCUUACCCGGGCGCGGAAGGCGGCCUUGAGCUGCGACGCAGAGUAGGCGGCCGAGGCGUUGAGGCCGAGGAUCUGGAAGGGCGUGGCGAGCGGGUCCAGUAUCCUCCUCUCGUUUCCCUCGCCGCUGCCGAGCGCCGAGACGGGGAGGGCGCGGCUGCGCCGCGGCGAAGGCAACGGUGCCCUCCGGCCGAAGGGAACCGCGCGGCCGUGCGGCGGGAAGGAAGAGGAAGCCACCGGAGUGGCCAUCACGGGGUUGCUCUGUGUGGCGGGUAAGCGGCGGCGAAGUGUAUCGCGCUCGGUUCCGUGUGUGCGUUUGUUCUUUACGGAAAAACUGGUAACUGUCACCUGUCAACUACUCUCCGUUUUUAAAUAUUCUAAUUUGGCCUAAAAUUAAACUUUUUUAAGUUUAAUCAAAAGAAAAGCUAACCAAUUGAAGAAAAUAAAUAUAUUUAGAGUUAAAGCUGUUCUAUAAAUUUGUCAAUAAGAGAAAGUUAGAACAUGUUAUAUCGUUAUCGUGGAUAUAAGAAUUAUAGUUUUUAUGCCGUGAAAGCCGGAGCUUUGCGAUGCAAUAUUAGAAUGGAAAAACCAAAUAUAUUUACAAGCGACCACGGUCAAAUCAAGAGAAAAAGUCAAAGCCGAAAGAGAGAAAUACCGUCCCAAUGGAUCAAACGCAGCUGAGCGAUAGGGGGGACUAAAAAACCAAAGAACACCAAGAAAACACCAAGAAACCUCACGGCACGGUCCCGUGGUGGAAAGCAAGCCUAUGGGCAGGAGCUGCCAUGGUUUGAAAGAUAUGACCUUUACGCCCCUUCCAAAUGUUCCACGUGAUGUAAAUGACCACCCACCGAAAUAUUGUCUUCUUUCCUUGUCAAUCGUCUUGGAGGGUUGAAUCCACCAAGCACAAGUGUCCCUAUAGUCGGACGGCUUGAUCUGUUGAACGAUGUUGAAGUUGUAGUAGUCAAGUACCUUUUCCCACACUUGGUGAGCAAAAGGGCAUGGAAGAAUUAUGGUUAUGAAUGUAACAAGAGAAGAGAAAAGUAUGCAAACCUCGAGAAGAUGCAAGGGUCGACCUUAAGCGGUGGGAUAUAGUAACCAACUAUUUUGUUGGUCAUACCUCGAUAGUUGAUGGCCUCCGAGAGGUAUGAUGAUGUGCUACUCUAAAUUGGAGGAUCUUCUCCUAGGAUGACGGAUCCAUCGGCAGAACAUGGUUGUGUCCUCCUCUUCGACUGUUAUCGCAUAUAACAUAGUUUCUAUAUUUGUUAGGACCACAUGCAACUCUUCCUCGACUAUGGUGGACGUAAAUUUUGGUGUCUCAACAAAAGGUGAUGUUAAGUGUUAUCGCACGGAAGUGAACUCAAUGAUAAAUCUCGCCAAGCAAGUCGAAUCACUUUUUGAAGUGUCUGAAACCAAGGUUCAAAAAAGCGCUAAGCGAGCAGUGAGGCACCGCUCAGAGGAAUUGAAGUUUAAGCGUUUCAUAUGAGUUUUGCCUGGUGCCGUUAUGUUGCCCGCCUUAGAUGAAUUGGCAGGAUUCUUGGAGGGAAUCAGGAGAAAAUUGAGAAAUUGGCGGGAUCCUUGGAAGAAAUCAAGGUGAAUUGAAGAAAAUGGAUGGAUCCAUGGAGGAAAUAAUGCGGGAGAGAGAGAAGCCGCCCAUGCAUGAGAGAAUUGUGCUAAUGGGCUUAUCAGUGCUUAAGUAGCCACUUAGAGCCUAAGCAAGGCGUUUUCCCAUCGAUAACGCUUUAGCGCGCUUAACCCACGCUUUUUUGAAAGCUGUCUGAAACCAACACACAAACCAUUAUCUCUUAGACGAACAAGAAAAAUAACAUGUGAGAACUUGAUACUAAUUCAAUACCAUGAUUGUAACUUACACAAUCAUGUGGUACCUAUAUCAUCAUCGUGAUUGAAAUUUUUUACCAAAUAGAAUGGUAAAUGCAUCACCAGUACGGUGACACCUUCGUGUAAAAUAAUCGUGACAACUUCUUUAUAAAACAAGUAACACUAGUCAGCAAUGUCGUGUUAUCCCAUCUUUCAUAUAUUAGUGUUUAGAUAUAUAAACAAGUGCUAAAUACUUCAUGGUUUAACACAUCUACAACAGAAAUACACACCAUUACCCUUUCAAACUUGCCAAUUAAAUUUUCAUGUGGUACAUUGUCGUCAUUGAAACAUCGGUAACUCCGUAUACUUUCAGAUAGUAGCUUUUAAGGCCGAAAAACAUACCGGCAUAGUUAAUUUUGAAGGUUCCCAUCGAAACAAAGAAAAUAGCAAAGAUGGAUUUUCCCGUAAAAAAAUAGUAAAAGACGUCUCAUAAAUCGAGUACAUGACUUACGAGUUAAAAUAUGUUUGAAUUCCAAAUUCACAAAGGCAUAAUCACUUUUGUUUGUUGGUGCGCCGUGCAUGCAUCUCCACAUGUCCUAGUCAUAGGCUCAUAGCCCCUUGUUUCUUGCUCUCCUCCACUUUGCACACAUCAACAACAAAUCCCUGACGACCUGACUGACUCAGUCCAAAUUCAAAAUACUCCCUCCGUCUCAAAAUAAGUUUAUACAAAACCAAAUAACUUUAUUUUGAGAUGGAGGGAGUAUUUGGUUUUCUAACCGGGGUUUGCUGAAAUCAAUUGGAGGUUUUAAGAGUAAGCGCAUAAAAUUGAUUUGGGUAGUGUUUGGUUGAGGAGACGAAGCAGAGCCACAACCGAAUUUUCACCCGCGUGAUAAACCCAAGGGGAAAUUGGCUGGAGAACACCGUUAUUUUGUGGCUUUUGCCGAAACACACCGUCGAAAUGUGUCUUUGUCCAGUAUCAUUAUAAUUUCGUGGACAUUUGCCACGACACAUUGUAUGGUCCAAAACAGAAAGUUUGACUUUUUUUCACAUUGAAUUAUCAUUCUACCUUUAGCAAAUGUGUCUGGAAUUUUGCAAACUCUUUGUCAGAAGCAUUUUCCUCUCUUGCAGAGUGCAGCAAGAAAGGGGACGAAUGCCCACCUCAAUCAACAACGAACCCUAAUACAUGUCAAAUAUCGAUUCGUACAAAGGAAAAAAGUGUUCAAAAUCGGAUUUAUGAUGAUCGUCGCCCAAGUAAAAAUGUCAAAUUCUCAAUUUCAGUUGAUGUAAUGUGUUAGCAAAUGUCCACGAAAUUGUAAGGGCAUUUCCAAUGGUUGAUACUAAGCAGGUACUAGUCUGAUGUGGCGGAAAAAUAGAUAGAAAAGAAUAAUACCUGUUACUUGCAGAAGUAACAGCCUCUACACAGGAACCAAGAACAAAAGAAGGAUGACAUGUGGGUCCAUUAAGAAUAGGAAGUGAAUAAAAAAGAAGAAGAGAGAAAUCAUAAAAUAAAAAUUAGUAAGGGUUUGUUGUUGAAGAUGGGGGUGGCUAAUCAGCGGAGCUCCGCCAGAUCCCGUACCGGCGGACGAGUUCAGACCAGCUUCCCGCGGGUGGUCCCGCGUCCUUUCCUCACUGCUUUCUUCCAUGCUCGUGCUCGGCCGCGUGAUGGGCCUUCUGCUAGAGCCCAACGACCACAAGCAGGUUCAUGUGAUGUCCGAGAUGGAUCACCACAGGCGGAUCAGCGUGAGGAGGAAGAAAGGGAAACGAACAGGAGGGGAGAGCAGAGGGAGGCUAGAUUGAAUUAGGGCAUAUAGUUUGUUACAACUCGAUACCCUUUCUGUCUCUAACUCCUUUCUACUUACGAGAGACUCACUCACAGCCUUACAUGGGCCAAGCCCAGCCUCCAUGGUGCACAGCACCUACGGCCCACUCACACCUGAGUCCUUUGCCAGAUUAGUCAGAGUAACAGACCCUGCACUGUGACAGUUCAGCCUUUUCUCUUUUCCCGUUUUUCUUUUUUCUAUUUCAGAAAAGUGCUGCUGCUGGGCUUUUUUUCUCACCUUUUCCCUUUCUGGGAGAGUGGUUUUUAGGAAAUUAAACGGGUGGGGAAAAGCACUUUCAAUCAAAAAGACUAGGCGCUUUCAAUCAAGAAGAAUAGACGCUUUCAAUCAAAAAGACUAGGCGCUUUUAAUCAUAAUGGUAUUUUACAAAAUCACAUCGGAAAGGUUUAUUUGCCAAAUUUUUAUGUCUUCCCUGACAGAUAUUCAAACUUUUUUGAAAACUGACAUAGAACUUCCAGAUUUAUAAGGGCAAACCCUGCUGUUUUGAGAGACAAACAAACAGACACAUCGCAAAGUAUUUGAUGGUUUCUACCGAAAAGAAAUAAAAAUCUGACAUAUGAAAAAGGGAUCCGCAUGUGUUUUGCCAUGAAUCAUAAGCUAUGUUAACCCAUAUCAGUAAUAAAAUUUUGCAAUGUCUAGGAACUGAAUGUGCUAUCUCCGACCCUUCAGUUUCUCAAAAAGUUUGACUUCAUAAAAAAUGUCCCCCCCCCCCCCCCUAUGUCCAUGGGGAAUAGCCUGGUGUCUACAAAAAAAAAUGAAGAGGAGAAACAUCUGUUCAGUAAAAUAAUUGUCAUAAAAAACAGUAUGGAAAAAAUGAAUUGAAAUAAGUGUAUGUAAACAUCGAAGUUCCCAUUUACAAAAAAAAUACCUUGUAAUCAAAAGGAACAUUCUGCAGGGGUGUAAUCAAGAGAACAAAAAAGAAUGAAGAGUUAGCCAAUUUUGUAAAGGAAAACCUUUGAAAAUGAAUUGCUAAAUAAAAUACACAAAAAAAAGGAGGCAUGUGAGACUUACAUGCUUAGACAGGAUUUCCUUUGUUUCUGGCAUCAAACACUCAUUACAUGGAUGCGCAAUCAGGUAAUAUGUUAGCAUUUCCUGUAAUGCCUUUGCCUUUUCCUGCCAGAAGGAAAAGGAGAGUUCGAACAAGUAUUUGAACUUGCUGCAGUUCCACCGUAGUUUGCGGAAGAAAACCGAGUCUAUCCCAGCUGCCCUAUACUAUUUGUUUAAUCGAAUAUGUUGUAAGCAAUUAAGAAGAAAAAAUUGAACUUACUGGCUCAAAACAUAAAAUAGUAUCUCCAUCAUGGCUUUGGAUAAGUUUCAUGACAAAAAUACCGCUAUCAGCCCUGUAAACAAAAUAAAAGGAUAAAAAAUAAUAACAAAAGUUAGAAGAUUUUUAUACACAGAGAAAUGACCGGAUUAAAAAAAACUGAACACCGAAACGAAUGGAUAAUUACUCUUUUAUUGAGUAUGAAACACUGCGGAACUUUGUGUCCAUGUCAAAAACAUUGACUUGAGCUCUUGGGUUGGCUAUCCUAAAAGCGUUCUUGAAGUUCCUAACAACCGUGUUUGCUUCAUCACAAAUGAGAUCAAUCUUGUUAUUUGGGUGCAAAAUCUCAAAGACCUUUUUCCUGAAGUUUGCAACCAUGAGAUACCAAAAGCCAUAUGUGGACAGUGGUAGUAGUAUCUGUUUCGGAACAAGUCAUAAUAAAAGAACAAAACAUGCUUUAAUGACGCAGCCAACAAUGUAAAACUAUAACAAAGCUGCGCAUAUUUUUGAUAAUAUGUACCAUAUCAAUGCCGCCAAGUCGACAACCCGUCAAGUAGUAUCUGUUCAGUCAGAUGUAUGGACAAUGCAGCUGGAUUUCAAAAGCCUUCUGGAACAAAGCCUGAGUAUUGAUAUUGAAGAAAAAGAUUGAGAAAUUUGUUAAGAACUGUGUAGGAUAGUGUUUGAGAAAAAAAUGCAGCUGCCAUUAGUAUCUUGUCCAAUAUGCUUGAGGCAACAAGUCACACUUUUCCCUCUCUUGCUGUUCAACUAUUACUGCUGUCCCCAUCAUAUUCAUGAUAUGCUUAUUGAUUCUACCAUAGACAUUCAUGUUUAGCCCGAAGGUUUUGUGGUCUACCCAAGUUGAACCAAUUUUUAUUAUUUUUGGGCUGAAAAAACAGGGGGGCAACAGGUGAUUAGAAAAGCAUCGUAAGCUACUGACCUAUGCAUUUGAAGCCAUAGUUAAACAGGUUUAAAAUAAACAAAAAUCAAGGUAAGAAAUGCACGAUGAUGUGUAGUAUACAGACCUCCUGUUGCGAUAUGGUAUCCGUUCAAUAAUAUCAUUAUAGACAUCCUUUUCCACAGCAUUAGAGCUGAAGUUGCAGUGUAUAUUGCUUGGACUUAUUUCAGAUAUUUGAAUUCCUUGGCUGGCUGGCGUGCUAAUUGUUUUUGUGCAUAGUACUCUUUCGCAAGCAAGUCUGAGGAUUUCAAGAUUUCACUCAUCGUCUCUUCAUCAUUCCAGGAGUCAUCAACCACAUUAUGACCAAAAGGUGUUGAUGCUUUGUUUGAGACAAGUUCAGUGGGUGUUGCAUCGUUUCCCUCGAACAUUUUUAUCCUCUUCUUUGGUGCAAUGCAUGAAGCGCUCAUCUCGUUGAGAGAGACACAUGUUGACCUUUUUCUGUCCUUUACAGUACAUGCCUUGGUGCUUGUACUGCCAUGCUGCAGUGAUUCUUUUUGGCCAUCAAACGAACUGUCUAAAUCACAGCUUGCUUCUUUGCAUCCUGGGAAAAGCUCAGUCUUGUCUAUCCUUGAUGCUCCUAUUCCUUCUGCAUUUCUCCUUUCCCAAUGAGAUUCCCAAUAGCACUGUGUAUCCAGAGACACAUAAGAAGCUAGAUUAAAUGAUUCUGAACUUUCAGUAUGACUCAUCGUGAUGUCAAUUCUCUCUGGUAGCAUUGAAUCAAUAAUCUCACGGUUUGGUGGAGGCAGAUCCAAACAAACAGGAACUGGUAUUUCAUCACAGAAAUGAAUAAGGUUCCCCAGGUCUGGAAUGAUGGAAUAUUCAUUAUCUAACUUACACAGUUCUUCGCUUCUUAUUUCUGGCAAUUGGACAGACUCUUUCAUCAAAUCAUCCAAAAUGUUUGUUGUCAGGCUUGUAUCCUUUUUGUCUAACGAACCGACUGAUGUGUCUUUAAGACUUGUUGAUUUUGGUAGCUGCACUAAUUCAUGUUCCAUUGCUUCCACCCCAGGCUGUGUAUUAAGAUGCAUUGCUUCCUGUUUUGCACUUUCCACCCUGGGCUGAGAAUUUGAUUGGAUGAUGGCAUUUUCUGCACUUGAGACGCCUGGUGUUUCAAAAGCUGACGAAUGAGAGCACCAAGGCUUCAUAGGUGUCUUGAUUUCGUUUAGGUUGGCCAUAGUUUCAGCAUGUUGAGCUGGGUCUUCAGCUGGGAGUGCGGCUGCAGCAGAUGAAAACAGUUUCACCAUCUGAAUUAUAUUCUUGGUUACAACUGGUUGAAUUGAUGCUAAAAUCUCUGUAUAGAGAUUGUCCAUUAUCCUCGGAAUCUCAUUUAUAACCUAGUAAACAAACCAAAGUGUGAACGGUUGAUGUUAAAGGCUGAAUACCAAAUGCACUAUGCAGUGAGUUAUUUUUUAUAAAAGCUCAGUGGGUCUGGGAGUUAAUAGCUGAUUGUUACAAUGCUAAAACUUCAUCAUAAGAUCGCUAAAAAAAGCUCAUGGUGAGAUCAUCGAAAGCUCGUCAUGAACUUGCUAGUCCCAGCAUGCAAAAAAGUUAGUUAUCUGAAAACAACAGAGAAGUCACUUGCAGCUUGAUUCCAGGUAAACAACAGAGCCUGAACUGAAACAUGAGCACUUGCAACAGCAGUAAACUUAGAAUAGACAAUUUAUUCAGAGUUCAAUGACGCCACAGGAAAAACACACACAAGAAUCACAACAAAAACACACAGGGUAAGAAAUUUGUAUCAUUCUACACCAAACAUCCGGAGUCAUGUAUCGUGACUGAAAACCAUUGUAAUUUGUGUUGGAACUUUCGCACUCAUUCUACUGGAGUUUCGCAUUCUACCCAAAAAAACACUCAUGUUGUAUCAUCCUGGAUUUAUUCAGAUGUCAGUCAUGUCAGAGGUGAAAGGAGUGUACAACCGAGUGUAUGUAAAACACCAGCGACGCAGCAGCUAUUGAAAAAGGGAAGGUUCCCAGUACUUGACCUUGGAAUGACCGGGCCCGAGAAAAUCCGGCGAGGAGAAGCUCCGCGAAUCCAGAAACCUAGAAACCCCCCGACGCGACGAUGAGGACUCGGUCCGCUCUUGGAAUCACGGAGUCAGCAGCCACCCACGCUGGCGACUCGCCUGAACGAUUGAAAAAAUCCCCAACGCCGCCUCCCACCAGUGCCACCGAUAAAACCUCACGGAUGGAAGAAGGCAGCCUCCGUCCACAGCGCCGAGGAUUUGGAAGACCUGUGGAGAGAAUCUGCGAUGGAACAUUCUGCAGGGGUGUAAUCAAGAGAACAAAAAAGAACGAAGAGUUAGCCAAUUUUGUAAAGGAAAACCUUUGAAAAUGAAUUGCUAAAUAAAAUACACAAAAAAAAGGAGGCAUGUGAGACUUACAUGCCUAGACAGGAUUUCCUUUGUUUCUGGCAUCAAACACUCAUUACAUGGAUGCACAAUCAGGUAAUAUGUUAGCAUUUCCCGUGAUGCCUUUGCCUUUUCCUGCCAGAAGGAAAAGGAGAGUUCGAACAAGUAUGUCUUAAGGAUAGUGAGAUCAUCGAAAGCUCGUCAUGAACUUAGAAGAAAUAAUAGGAAAGCAUGUCUUAAGGAUGCUUGAAAAUCAAAAGCACACGAUGUGUUCGUUAAAAGCUCAUCAUGGGAUGCUUGAAAAAAGCUGAUCGCUAGAGUGCUAAAAGCUUAAGGAUUUUCAAAAAUGAAAAGAAAUGUACAAGAAUUGUUUAAUAAAAAAUUCAUCAUGGCAUCAUAAAAAAAAGCUCGCUAUUAGAACAUUAAAAGGACAUGAUGCGUUCGUUAAGAAUCUCAUUAUAGAAAAGAUAAAAAGCUCAAUGGUUUUUGUAAAAUUAAAAGUUCAUGGUGCGUUCGUUGAAAGCUAAUCAAGGACACUUAAAAGCUGAUUGUUUGAAUGCUAAAACUUCAUCAUAAGAUCGCUAAAAAGCUCAAUGGUUUUAGGAAAAAUUAAAAAGCUCAUGACGCCUUCGUUAAAAAAGCUAAUCAAGGGACACUUAAUAGCUGAUCGUUAGAAUCCUAAAAGCUCAUCAUAAGAUCGCCAAAAAGCUCGAUGCUUUUUAGGAAAAAUUAAAAGCUCAUUGUGCGUUCGUUAAAAGCUGAUUGGUAGGAUGCUAAAACUUCACCAUAAGAUCGCUAAAAAGCUUAUUGGCUUUCCAAAAAAUUAAAAGUUCAUGGUGCGGUCAUUGAAAGCUAAUCAAGGACACUUAAAAGCUGAUUAUUUGAAUGCUAAAACUUCAUCAUAAGAUCGCUAAAAAGCUCAAUGGUUUUAGGACAAAAAAAAGCUCAUGAUGCGUUCGUUAAAAAGCUAAUCAAGGGACGCUUAAAAAUAGCUGAUCGUUAGAAAACGCUAGUUGUUAAAAGCUAAUCAACGACACUUAAGAUCGCUAAAAAGUUCGUGGUGAGAUCAUCGAAAGCUCGUCUUGAGCUUAGAAAAAAUAAUAGGAAAGCAUGUCUUAAGGAUGUUUGAAAAUCAAAAGUGCACGAUGUGUUCGUUAAAAAGCUCAUCAUGGGAUGCUUGAAAAGCUGAUCGCUAGAGUGCUAAAAGCUUAAGGAUUUUUAAAAAUGAAAAGAAAUGUACAAGAAUUGUUUAAUAAAAAAUUCAUCAUGCAUCAUUAAAAAAGCUCGUUAUUAUAACAUUAAAAGGACAUGUUGCGUUCGUUAAGAGGCUCAUUAUAUAUAAGUUAAAAUGCUAAUUGGUUUUUGAAAAAAUUAAAAGUUCAUGGUGCGUUCGUUAAAAAGCUAAUCAAGGACACUUAAAAAGCUGAUUGUUAGGAUGCUAAAACUUCACCGUAAGAUCGCUAAAAGCCUUAAUGGUUUUUGGAAAAAUUAAAGGUUCAUUAUGCGUUCGUUAAAAGCUAAUCAAGGACACUUCAAAGCUGAUUGUUUGAAUGCUCAAACUUCAUCAUAAGAUCGCUAAAAAGCACAAUGGUUUUGGGAAAAAUUAAAAAGUUCAUGGUGCGUUCGUUAAAAGCUAAUCAAGGACACUUAAAAAAGGGUGAAUGUUAGGAUGCUAAAACUUCACCAUAAGAUCGCUAAAAAGAUUAAUGGUUUGGGGAAAAAUUAAAAAGUUCAUGGUACGCUCGUUAAAAAGCUAAUCAAGGGACACUUAAUAGCCGAUCGUUAGGAUGCUAAAACUUCACCAUAAGAUCGCUAAAAAGCUUAAUGGCUUUUUGGAAAAAUUAAAAGUUCAUGGUGCGUUACUUGAAAGCUAAUCAAGGACACUUAAAAGCUGUUUGUUUGAAUGCUCGAACUUCAUCAUAAGAUCGCUAAAAAGCUCAUUGGUUUUAGGAAAAUUAAAAAACUCAUGCUGCGUUCGUUAAAAGCUAAUCAAGGGACACUUAAUAGCUGAUCGUUAGAAUCCUAAAGGCUCAUCAUAAGAUCGCUAAAAAGCUCAAAAUGGUUUUUAGGACAAAUUAAAAGCUCAUGAUGACAUCGCUAAAACUCUCAUGAUGAGAUUCUUAAAAAAAUAAAAAUAUAAACCUGAAAGUUAAAAGCUCAAUGGAUCUCAUUGUGAGACACGCUUGCAUGCGGACAUGUACUGCUGCACAAAAGAAACGAUGAUUUUUUUUAUUUUUAAACAAAUGGUGAAAUUCUCUGACCAAAAUAUUAGAUUGACAAGCUUUUUGUUUUGAUUCAUUAUCACUCUACCGAGACAUGCAUAUGCAUUCCUUGAGGCUUACAAUGUAAAAAAAUUGGAAAAAAUGAAAGUACUACAUGUAACAAACACAUAAUAAGCAUAUUCAGCCCAAAAAAAAUGAGAAAAUGAUCCAAAGAGAUGCGAUUGAUGUCAUACCAUCUUCUGGUUCUGCUGUGGCACAGCUGACAUGAUGAAUUGUUGGAACUCACGGUAGGAAUUGCCUUGAAGCAGAAUGUUCCUAUUCAAGAUGUCCAUGCUGAAUGGUGUUUGAGACACAUCCUUCACCUUUUUUUUCAUAUUAUGGCACAGAGGAAAAACAAAAAAAAUGUAAGCACUUGUUUGGUUACAGCUGAGGCGCAAAAAAUAUGAAGUUGUAUUACAAAAACAAGAGGUUUAUUAAAUCUUUUGAGAAGAAGUACACAAAAGACAGGGCAAAAAAGACAUGCUGAAGAUAUAUGUAAAUACAGUACCGGUAGCUUUCCAUAAAUUUGCAGAGGGAAGCUCAUACAGUCCAUCCUUUCAUAUUCAGAUAUCAUCUGAGUUGUCCAUAGAGAGAGGCGUGGCAAGGUAGUUGUCGCUUUCAUUAUAUUGAUGUCUAUAAACUCGAAAUACAAGAUCUGUACAACUGAAAACAUAAGAAGAAUUAUGGUCUCAAAAAAGAGUGAAGGUGGGAGGUGCGUACAAAACUGUAAUUUACAAGAGCUGAAGAAUCACAUACCACAAUUGAUAGCAGAUUUCCGCCUAGUACCGAUGUGCCGGCUUUCUGCCAAUUUUCAAUUGAUAGCACAAGCUUGUCUAGUGCUGCUGUACACCAAUCGAAUGAAGCUAUAUUAUCUGGAUCUUCAAGGGCGUGAUAGUACUCGGGACUAGCUGCUCCAUGACUUGAAGGGCAGAUAAAUGUAGCAAGCACGAACAUAAGGAACACUCUUUUGAACAAAUCACCACCUAGGCCUGGGGUAAUCAUCUUCUCUAGCUCUGCUAUGGUGGGAAAGUUUCCUUUGCAGUUGGUUUGCUCGGCAAUUAAAGUUCGCAUCUGAGCAGUGCACUUCUCAACUUUUCUUCCUCCCAAUGGGAUACCUAAUAUUUGGUGCAUACAGAAUGGUGUCACAUGGAUUUUUAGCCCAUUAGGCAGUUCAAAAGUCCUAGUGUGUACAUUGAAAUAACCGGCCAUCCACAGAGCAACACCGCGUGGCAGCGUGUCACAUGCGAUAUCCAAAACAUUCUCAAAAUCCAUGCUCCGAACAAGCUUUUGCUGUUCAAGUGUUAAACGAACAGCAACAGCCAUAAAUUUUGGCAGUGUGAGUUUAGUCGCAAAAGUCUGCAAAAAAUUCAGAAAAAGAAAAACACAACAUGCAUUAAUAAAAAGCACCUCCUCGCCAAAAAUGGAAAAUCUCAAUGGUAACAGAUUUUAUUUUAAACAAUACGAGAUGUGCACGUACUGUCUUAUCAUGCUGUCUGUCAGCCAUGUUAGAAGUAUUGCAGCCACUGUGGAAAACAAAUCCUGGCUACCACACCAUCCUUAAAAAUCUGUGAAGAAAAAAGAAAGAGUUAUACAACAGUAUACCAAAAACUGCCAAUGUUGGCACCAGCUCGCCGGCGCCUACACGGAUACAUCUAUUAGACAGAUACGGACACACGGAUGCGUAAUUUUGAAAAAAAAAUAACGAUACAUGGAUAUGUUUGAGUAAUUUUGUCAUGAUGAAAUGAAGUUCAAGUUCAGCAAUGCAUGCAAGCGCAAAAACACAUAGCAAAGGUAGCACACACAAACCGAAACAGUAGGGUCUACUUAUGUACUUGACAACUUCUAUUGUUAUACAACAUAGCAAAUUACAAUUAGGAGAUUAAAUUUUAGCUUUCGUCUUCCAACACAACAGUAGCUUCCCCCCAAUUUCUCCACAAAAAUUUCAUUUCCAUUAAGCAAUUCCUCCCCCCAGAUCGAAGUUUCUCUAAAAUAGUUACAUGAUACCACAACGGGGCCCUGGUGUUGGUACAUACCCCUCUUAAUUUGACUUGGAGUUGGAGUAGAACAGGUUGCCAUGAUUCUCUUAUGGAAACCAAGGAGGAGGAGGGAGGGGGAGGAGGAGGAAGAGGAGGCGCAGAUUAGGAGAGGGCUGCUGCCCUAAGCAGUUGAGGGAGACUGGGAAAGGGGGACUGACCAAGAUCUGCAGGGGGGAGGGCGCGCGACGCUGCAGUGGUGCCUGCGGAAAUGGAGAUCUCGCCGCUCCUCCUGCUGGUCACGGCUGCAACGAAAGGGGGGCAGAAGAGCGGAGAUAGGGGCUCUCGGGAUGGGAGCCUAGUUUUGAAAACCGGACGGUUAAUCGAACCGGCGAGGCUCUCGGUUCGGGUUUUUUCGGUCGAUGGUUUUUAAGAUAUAAAAUAAUCUAUUUUAAGUAAAUAAUGCAAAAACAAGAUAAAAAUCCCGGCCGGUGGCCGGCGCGGGGGCGGGGAGGCUCGCGGGACCGAAGGCGGCCGGUGCAAGGGACGGCGAGGCGUGGGCAGCCGGCACGGAGGGCGGCGAGGCGCGCGGCGGCCGGAGCGGCCGGCGAUGGUGGCGGCGGGAUGAGGGAGGGAGACGGCGAAACGGGGAACGGCAGGUGAACCGGGCGGUUCGAGCCAAAUCGCCCGGUUCGCCUGGUUUUUUCGGUCUGCUUGGUCCGGUCCUGUGGGCUAAAUAGACCGUUGGGAGCUGCGGUUCCGGUUUUUUCCGAUCGGACCGCCGGUCCGGUACGGUUUUCAAAACUAGGGAUGGGAGUGGUAAGGCAAAGGGUUUAAUUGUAAAUGGGCCGGGCUGUGUCCUUAGACUCCCACAUAAAAGGGUUUUCGUCGAGUGGAAGGGCGAAAAUGCAAAAAGGGAUUAUUUUUUUACUUACCCCCUUCCCCUACCUCCAGACACAGGCGUGGCCCGAUGCUGUCUCCACGCAUCUGCCGCCAUAUCCGGCGAUCAAUCCGUCCGAUGAAUACACGGAUCUAGAAAGGGAGGAGUCAGGGGGAUCUCCACCGAUCUAGUUUGGCAAAUUUUGACAACCCCGCCCCCCUCAGCUGUUUCCUCCCCUCCGAAUUGCAGUGAACAAAAAAGGUACGAUCCCAAACUGAUCUGAUACUGCAAACAGAGCAUGCAAAAACAUUAGCCCGUGUGUACAUGGCAAUCAAUAGGAUUGGUACUUUGAAGAACAACUGCGAAACAACUGAUCUGAUAAGCAUUCAUGAAUUCCCAUCCAGAUUUAUAUCAUACAGAACGAGUGUGUUUAGCCCGUGUGUUUAUACUCAAUUGCAUAUCAAGAAAAACACAAAAGAAAAAAAGCUUGGGCAUCAAAGGUCUCCCCAAAACGAAAUAGUAAAACAAUGUCUUCGGCUUCAUUUUGCUUUAAAGAUCUUCUCGUUCUGCACCACUGCUUUUUUCGGCUUUAUUCUGCACAAAAACAACAUAUAACAGAUAAAUAACCAUGAAAGAAAACUAAACAAUUAAAAAAGGCAUAAUUCUUGACAAAAAAUAAACAGAUAUAAUAACAUGAUUUUCAGUAUUUCAUUUUUUAUUUUGUACCAGAUGGACAUAAUGGGCAGCCACCUAGUGGAUGGAGUGAUUGGGCAAAACAGUCAAGUGAUGGAUCGAGUUUCCUUCAGAACGAAGCAAUUCACAAAGCCGCGUACCCUAGAAUUGUUUGUUGAGGUAAAAUUUCUUUUAUAUAAAUGUCAUAUCUACCAUUUAAAAAGACAGGAAGGAACACAUAAAACUAACAUGUCUCUCUCCCAAACAAAACUGUAAAAUAAAAUGUAGUCAUUCGUUAUGAGACGAAGGAUAAGGGAAGAAACUCAGUCAAUUCAAGAGUUAGAGAUGGUGCAGUCAAUGCUAGAUGGGACAGACACCCACGUACAGCAUGGUGGUGUCGAUUCAGCAUCACAAGAACAGGACAAGGUAUGUGAAAUAAGAAAUUCCUAUUUCUUUUGUGAUUUAAAUUCCAAUUGAGUACAGGUUUUGUACAAGUGCAGACUGUAUAACAGUAGCUAUUUGUUUUGUGAUUUAAAAAGAUUUAAAUUCCAAUUGAGUACAGGUUUUGUACAAGUGCAGACUGUAUAACAGUAGCUAUUUGUUUCGUGAUUAAAAUAUAAUGAUGCAGACUAUCAUGGGGAGGCAAGAAAAUGAGCAAAGACAGGAGAACAUGGGUGCCCCCGAUGCAGCUGUUAAUAGAAGGAAACCAGAUUGUGCGCCAAUGCCAUUUGACUUGAAUGCUAAUUUAUUUGAGAACGGAAAUGAAGAGGAAGAAUAUCUAGAGCGUUCACAUGACGAUGUUGAACAGAAUAGUGAGGUGCAAUUCCCGGAGCAGUCGUAUGAGCAUGCUGAAAUGACAGAUGAAGCAACUAAUCAUGUGCAAUUUGCUGAUCAAGCAAGGGAUGACCAGGGGAUUGAGGAAGGGCUAUUUCCUGACCCAGUCACAAAUGAAGAAAAGGAGAUGGACCGGAUGUUUGAAGCUGAUAACUACCCUGCCAUCCAUGAAAUUAUUCAAGCUCGUGCCCCACAAGAUGGAAUGGUGUUUGAUUCGCUGGAAGAAGCUUUCCGUUUUUUCACAGUGUAUGAAAGGCGUGUUGGCUUUGCGGUGAAGAAGGACAGCAGUUAUAGAUCAAGGAAAACUGGGCAAGUUCAGCGGAUUGAGUUCACAUGUAAUAAGCACAGGGGCCAUAUAAACACAGACUCAGCAACGAGGCAGAGAAGAAGCAACAAGAUUGAAAGAACAGAAUGCAAGGUACUGAUGAGAUUAAAGAAGGAUGACUGUAAGUGGGUGGUAUAUAGUGUUAAUCUUCAGCAUAAUCAUGAUCUUGCACCGAGUCAGUGGCUUGUCAGGUUUAUGAGCUGCCACAAAAAAAUGUCCCCUGCGGACAAGCAUUUGGUUGAGAUACUUCAGGAAAGCAGGGUCCCCCCAAGGAAAGUAAUGUCUAUUUUCAGGUCAAUGAGAGGAAGCUUCAGAAACAUUCCGUUUGAUGCUAAGUAUGUUUCCAACAUGAUGUACCAGGAAAGAUUGAAGCAUAAGAACAGAGAUAUCAAGGAGCUGCUACAGAAAUUCAAAGAUGUGCAGAAGAAAACAAAAAGCUUUUACUACACGCUGCAAAUUGAUGAGGAUAACAAUGUUAGGAGUGUAUUCUGGACAGAUGUCAUGGGCAGAGCAGAUUACAAGAUGUUUGGGCAGUUUCUCUCAUUCACAACAUAUACAAUAUGCCCUUUGCACCACUGAUUGGGGUUGAUAACCAUGGAAAGACAGUGCUGUUUGGUGCAGCGCUCCUGAAGAACGAGACAGCAGACACAUUCAGGUGGUUGUUCAAAGAAUUCCUGGAAGCCAUGGGUGGGCAGCAACCAGAAACGGUGAUAACGGACCAGGAUACUGCAAUGAAGUGCACUAUUGCUGACAUGCUACCAAACUCAACCCAUCGUUUUUGCAGCUGGCAUAUUCAGAAGAAGAUGAAGGAGAAGCUUGUAUCUUUCUUUGCUAGUAAAGGUACUUUGCAUGCAGACAUCUUAACAUAUUAGCAAAUCAAGAACAGAAGAAUAUCUCUGCAAGCCUAGACUGCAGAAAACAGCACCAAAAACGGCAGACCAAAAAGAAAACAAAAACAGGCACUAAUAGAAACCUUGCAGACAGAAAUACAAGGAAAACAUAGAGGUUCAUAAAUAAUUCCCUGAUCAACAUGUUUGUCAAUGCACCCAUACUUCGCAUGUUCAUGUUCACCAUUUUGGUUAGUCACAGGUGGAGAAUAUUCAGAAAACGAGUCUGGCAGCUGGUGACUUCUGGGGACCAAGAUCGACUAAAAGGUAACAGUUCCAUAUAAACAUGGCUCUAGUAACACACUUCGCAGGUGAAGAUCAAGAACACAGGGUGUAGGGAAUCUUAUUGAGGAAAAUGUAACAAUGAUGAGGAGAAGCAAUAUCAGAAGACACCACCCAUCUGCUCAAAAUAAUUGUGUAUUUUCAUGUUAGAGAAAGGAACAUUCUUCAUAAUGAUGUAGAACAAAACAAAAAAAUUGUCAAUGAACACACACAUUCAGGAGUUUCUUAAUAUAACAGAAAAUAUGGCAGGGCAUUUAAGUAUUGUUGGGACAGAAAAUUUUGAGUAAACAUUGUAGAUAAGUGUAACAGAACGCACAUGCACUAUGGCCUAUGGAGGUAGCUAGAUUGAAGAAAGACGGAAAACACAAUUGAGGGUAAUCCUAGAAGUGGCAAGGAACCGCAGUGUUGGAAAGGGUUACGUGGCAAUCUGAGAAGGUCCUUUUUUUUAGUUCUUGAUACGAGUCCAUGUCAAUGAGUAACAGAUUCGAAGGAAAUUCCAAAUGCCAUGGAUUUAUGAUGGGGAUUUUUGCGGGGAAAAUUCAUAUGGCUCUUAGUUUUAAAAAAAAAUACAGAUGGGGACUGAUGAUUUUGUUUAUUUUUACAUGCGAGUUGUUAGCAAGCUGUAUCACUCUAUUUUUACAUGUAAGUGAUUAGCAAGUUGCAUAGCUAAAGUGGUCAGCAAGUUGUAUAACUAAAUAGAAAUGAAGUGAGAAAGCAACAAUUUUCUGCAGUCCAUAUAGGGAUCAUCUGUGAGGAACUGAAUACUGCCUAGUCCCGUGACUUCUGAUUACCAAGUGGCAAGUGCAAAACGUACAACAUUUACCACUUUACAAAGACCGAUAACUAAUUAGGAACAACCAUAAUGAUUGAUUAUCCAAGGGUAAAAUAACUAGCUUUUCGCUAUUAUCUUUAGACAUGAACCAACAAGCACAUACGUGUUAAGCAACAAUGGCAUAGCCAUUCUGAAAAUUGAUGUAUAAUUUACCAAGGGUCCACAUUACGCAUAAGAGUUGGACAAAGUUGCUUGUUGGAUACUACUACCAAAGACCUUAAACAUUUGCGUUGUAUUUCAGCAUCUGUAAAAACAAAGAACGUACCAUGAUAGCCUCAAUCUCUUCCUCAGAGAGUGGUUUGCGUUUGGGAAGCUGUGAAGCUGGCCCUCCAACAGCAGUAUGAGAAGGUGGGGAAGGCACAUCUGAUUUAAAGCGGUAAUUUUUUUUCUCUCCAGAAGGUGGUGCGUCUACUUUAGCUCCUGAAAAUGAAAUUGUUAGUUACACUCCUUUCUAUGUAUUAUGAGGAAGGGACUAUGUAAUACUUCCUCUGUCCCAUAUUAAGUGUUACAACUUUGUCUAAAUAUGCAUGUACCUAUACACUAGGAGUAUCACCAGCAAAGCUCCUCUUUGCCGGCGGCUUUUUGUCGGGCCGCCAGCAAAGUCUUUGCCGGCGGCCAAAACAACGGCCGUCGGCGAAGUAAAGUAACUUCACGGUUUUGACUUGUUAACGGCGACGCCGUCUCGCCGCGUGGGCCCCGCUCGUCAAGCCUUUGCCGGCGGCCCCGAGGAAAAGCCGCUGGCAAAGAAGGGUGACGUGGCGUGAGCGCGCCGUGCCGCGCGUCACCCAUGCCGGGCCCGCUCGUCAGGCCUUUGCCGGCGGCCCCGAGGAAAAGCCGCCGGCAAAGAAGGGCGAGGUUUUUGCCGGCGGCCACGAGGAAAAGCCGCCGGCAAAGAUUACUCUCUUUGCCGGCGGCCAUCCACUUAGGCCGCCGGCAAAGGAUCCCCGCAGGCAGCACAGGCAGCCGCCACGUGGCGGGUUUGCCGAAGGGAGGCCGCCGGCAAAGAGGGUUAACCCUUUUUUUAAUUUAUUUUCUGUUUAUCCCAGCAAUUAAAAUCAUAUAUAACACAAUUAAAAUCAUAUAUUUCCAUGGCCGGCGGGCGGCCAUGGCCUCCGAGCUCCAUUUUUGGAGCUCCGAAGGCCGGCGAGCUCUGAUUCUCGACCCCGAAGCUUCCCUCUCCCUCUCGAUCUAUCUCGCCGGCCUCCAAUUUCUCUCUGAAGUUCCCCAAUUCCAAAUUUUUGAGCUCCGGCGGCCGCCAGCCAAAAUGUGGCCUCCUCGUCGUCGCCUGGAGCUUCCCUCUCUCUUGCGAGCUCUCUCUCCCUCCCGAUCUUUCUCGCCAGUCUCCAAUUUCUCUCCGAAUAUCUCUAAUUUCAAAUUUUUAGUUAGCUCCGAUUAAUUAACACCUUAAUCCCCUUGUCAAUGAUUAGGCUAACUAUUUUGCUUUGUUUGUUUUCUUGUGUAUUGUGUUGUAGAUCCAAAGACCGUUCUUGGAUGUACGCCAAAAAAAAAAUCAAUGUCGGCGUCUUGGGGCUGCACAACAUCAUCAGCUCCUACCCGUCCCUGCGACGAGUGGGGGCUGAUGUCCGACUCCUCUGCCCGGGCCCCGCGUCCCCCUCCACCCGCAACCUGGGGGAAGCGGGCACUCGUGGAGAGUGGGGCAGAAUCGAAGCUCAGCUGGCCCGACCUAGAGUCCUCUAGCGACGAGGCGGGCCAGGUUGCCGGGGUCCGAGCGGUCCUUCUCGAGGCGGUGGAGGAGGAGGAGGACGAAGACGACACGCCCCUGAUCGUGUGAAGAUCAAGGGCGCCUGCGGCGGCCGCCGGCGCCGCGGCGACUUCCACGGCGCCCGGGGGCGCGGCAACCACUCGGGUGCCCCCGGUCCCGGCUAAGCGGGGGCUCUUCCAGGGCUUCGAGUUCAAGCUCAACCCCCCGAGGGACGGCGCCCCGUCGGGAGCCGGCAAGAGGGGGAGAGCCGAUUCGCCGCCCGCCGCGCCGAGCAAGAGGACGCGCAUCUGGGCCAGCACCAGCACCAACCCGGCCUGCGCGGGGACUGGCGGCGCUGCCACGGCGCCCGCCGCCGCUCCAAUUCCAAUGGAGGAGGAGCUGGCAACAGGUACUGACCCCUUCCUUGACCCCAUUGCACAUGUUAAUCCCACCUGCUGACCUGCAACCGUGCCGCCUUCUUGACUCGCAGGCGAAGUCCAGCCCGCGGUAGGCGGCCCGGCAACAGCGGCCGGGACGGGAGAGGAGGAAGCUCCUCCCGCAAGCUCAGCGGCCCUGCAAGGUACUCAUUCAAAGCCUCCUUGCGUUCAUCGCCGGGCAACUCGUCUUAUUUCUAGAUUCUAAUUUCAUUCUCUGUCGCAGUCCCAACCGUGGUCACAACGGGAGCGCGCAGCGUCGUGGUUGACCUCGGCCCCAACGCCGAGGACGCGGAGACGAGGGAGGAGCCGGAAGAGGCUCCUGCCCCCAGCUCCUCUGCGGCGGACUCAACGGUGGCGGCGCCCACCAUCGCUACCGAGGCGGAGCUCGGCGGCCUGUCUCGGGCCGCGCAGGCCGGGGACGCGGAUCCCGCGGUCACCCGGCAGGAGGGCCUCUUGCCGAGGGAUCGGCAACUCCGCCACCCCCGCAACCCAUGGGCGCGAGCGUGGAGGAGGCUGCGGCAGGGGAGCAGCAAGAGGCUCCGCCGCAAGUGGACGACGCCCCUCCCGGCCAAACAGUGGCGGCAGGGGCCUCGUCGUCGUCUGCUGCUGCCUCCGGCUCGGACUUCGGCAUCCUCGUCGGGCCGACUUGGGACCCAAUCACCUAGGACCCAAGCAUCUACGACCAGGGGCACCAGUUCCUUGAUGCGAUCAAGGAGCAGCAGCUGGCGUUCGUCACCUCCUUCAACCAGGUGAGGGAGCGCCACGAGCUCGCGAAGGGCCAGCUUGGCAAGGUGCGGCAGGCCGUUGAGAGGGAGAGGCAGGAGCUCUCCCAACUGCAGGAGGAGGCGCGCCUGGCCCGAGCCGCCCGCUCUCACUGACCGGUGGGACCCACGUGUCAUCUUCAAGCUCCAACUGCCUCCGGAUUCCAUGCCACGCACGACUCCGAGACGCCCACGAUUCCGUUCCGAUUUCUUAGCGCACGAACCAGCAAAUCCGAAACCCCGCGCAUCAUAUCGAAGACCCCGGACUCCUCUACCACUUCCCCCAAACCGUUCGCCCAAUUUUGCGCCUCCCCGCGUUGCCCGCCUGUGCCGCGUGCCGCGCGCCGCCGCCCGCGCCCGCACCGCCGCGUCCCGCGCCCCGCGCCACCCGCCGCCGCCGCCGUCCGGCGAGCUAUCCCUGCCAGCCGGAACCCUUAUCCCGGCCUAUCCCGCGCUGCCACGUGGCAAAGUUUUUGUUUUAUUUUAUUUCGGCCGAAUUAGAUAUUGCACUUUUGCAGAAAAGACCCUACAACUUCAAAGCAUCAUAUCUUUCAAACUGUUUGUCCAAAAAUUGUGAUCCGCACCUUUCUGGAAUCGUCAUAACGUGUAGAAUAUUUUGGCACUGUUUAAAUUCAGUUUUGAAUAACUUAGACAGUAGCUAUUUACAGAAUGGUGGUUUAUGGUUUAAAUUUCAAAUGAAUUGUUUCAAAAUAGUUUUGAGCCACCUGGGGUAACCGAGACUGGACUAGUUUCCUAUUUAGAAGCUUCUAGUACAACCACAAUGCUAUAUGGGCUCUGGCGAGACAAGAGUAAGUUGUAUGAACCUAGACCCGAGGAAUUGUACUGAGGUUGCCGUGUAGGGGGAGCGUGAUUCUCUCGUGGUUUAGGGAAUUACCUCUGAAAAUCUCGUAGUCGAUGCCGUUGCUACUCUACCCUGAGGACAGUAAGGGAUUAACACGUCGGUUUCUUGUGGGGAAUGUGUACAAACUCUCGAGAGCGUCAAAACUAAGUACUUAGCCGUGUCCCCGGCAACGGACAAUUUGAUCAACUAGAUGUGGAGCUGUAAGGAAAGUCUCACUCAUUCCAAUUUCUUAAAUAAAAUGAAUGGUUGAACAGGGUAGGAGCACUUGAUGAAUCCACUUCAAUGUGUUCUAGGAUAAUAGGAGCAUGGGUGUGUCUACCCCGUGUCCAAUAGUGAUAAAAUUCUAUUUGAUUAAAAGAUAGGAUUAAAUAACUAAGCUUUUAUGCAAAUAGCCUUGUACCCCACUUUGCCACAUUAUGCAUAUACUUGGUAGGUUCUGGUAUAACUUCUGGUGAAUCUUGCCAAUACAUUCAAUGUAUUGACCCUAGUGGUUGCAUCGUUUAAUGCUGCAAGAAGCUCCGACGACGAGUAAGAUGUACGUUCUGCAUGUUUGGGUUACGGGCUUACAUUCCAACACACUCUCACCGUGGUGUUGAUGUGUCCUUGUAUCUUUCACUUUCCGCUGCUAAACAGUUGUUUUAUUUCCAGCUAACCCGUGAGGUUAUGCGAGUUGUAAGUAUCUUUUAAAAUCUGGAUGAUACGUUGUAAUAUUGAGACCUUUGUUCUAUGAUAUUACAUCUUGAAACUGUGUGUGCUAGUGAGUCGAUCCAGGGACUAGCACUAAAGCACAGAGAUCGAACCCGUAUACGGGGGCGGUCGCUUCAACCAGGCUGCGUCCUUGAGGUCGCACCUGACGGAGAGGACGCCAUACGUGGACGGCAUCUUCAUCACGCCAUAGGGCAAUGAACUUGUUUAGCGCCGGCCGACCAAGGAUCCCGUUGUAGGGCAACAGGGUGUGCGACACGUCGAACACCAGGUGCUCGGUCCUGAACGAUUCCCGGGACCCGAAGGUAACCGGUAGCGUGAUGCGCCCCAGGAGGCACACAAUCCCGGGAUUCACUCUCCGGAACGGGUCAGUGGGCUUCAGCUGCUCCAACGGCAGCUAAAGUUUCUCCAUUAACCUGGCGGAUAGGAGGUUCAGCCCCGCUCUAUUGUCCACCAGCACCUUGGCCACCGUCAUGUUGUUGAUGAUCGGUGAGACCACAAAAGGUAGAACCCCUGAACCUAGCUGCCGGGCUGGGUGAUCAUCGGCGCUGAAGGUGAUCGGCACGUGCGACCACUUCCGCGGCUGCUGCGCCUUCUCGUCCGGCAGCAGCGCACACACCUUCCGGGUGAGGCACUUCACCGCGGCGUGGGAUGAGAGAGUGUAAGCUCCCCCAUGGAUGCAGGCGACGCCGCGGGGCUCCUGGAAGCCGGCCUCGUCGCCCGCACUGCAAUCGGACUCACGCUGCUCCUCAGCGCGAGCUUCGUCUCGUUCCCGGGGAGGGCGCUCCCUGCCGGCACGGUCCUGGCCGCGUCCCCCCGGGGCUUCCUCCCUACCGGCGCCCCCACCAGCAGGCUUCGGCCCCGCUCUGGGGUCAUUCGGGCAAUCCCGGGAGAGGUGUCCGAUGUCGCCGCAGUUGAAGCAGGCGCCGACCGCUCGACGCUCCUCGUGGCGCUGCUCGCGCCUCUGCUUGAUACCCUGCAGGAUACCGCAAUCCUGCGCGUCUUGGGUGGCGUUGGCGUGGAUGGGGCAACGGGGCGCGUCGCCGGGCUUGCCGCCAGACCCGCCACCGGGCGAGGCCUUUUUUGCAGGCCUCGCGGUAGCCCCCGACUCCAUGGCGAGGACUUGCUUCCCAUUACGCUUCCGGGAGCCCUUCUUCUACGAGCCCUCAGCUGGGCUCGCGGCACCCUUAGCUGCAAUCUCGGGCGCCAAGCACCCUUCCUCGGCCAUGGCACACUUGUGAGCCAGGGCGUAGAGAUCCUGCGUCGUCUGGAUCCGAUGCAUGCUCAACUUCUCCCACAUCUUGGGGUCGCGGACGUUGAUGGCGAAGUUGUUGACGAUGGCGGCAGCCUCCUCCUCCGGGAUGGAGUAGGAGAGGCUGGAGAAGCGGUUGACGAAGCUCCGCAGCUUCUCUCCCAGCUUCUGCACCACGGUGUGCAGCUCCGCCAUGGUUCCCGGGUGCUUGUAGCCGCCCUGGAACACGCUCACGAACUGCUCGCGAAGGUCCGCCCAAGUGGCUUUGGACCCAGCAGGUAGGUUGAGCAGCCACAUUCUCGCUGAUCCCUUGAGGACCAUCGGGAAUCAGUUAGCCCUGACCUUGUCAUCGGCGCCGAUGGCAUGCAUCCCCAACGUGUAGGUCAGGAGGAAAUCCUUCGGGUUCACGGUCCCGUCGUACGUCCCAAGCGCCGGCGCUCGGAACUUGCGGGGCCAUGUCACCCGGCGCAGCUCGCGAGUGAAAGCGGUGCAGCCAUCCUCGGCACCCACGGGAGCAUCCUCCUGCUCCUUCGGGCGCAGGCGCUCCAAGCGCUGGCGGAGAUCCUCCUGUUGGCAGGUGUUCAGGACGCCGCGCGCGUCACCCUGUGUGAUGCUUGGUGACGAAUCUGAGGACCCCUCAGGAUCCCCGCCUCCUUGCCCUCCCUGCGGAGGUGGGUUUUCCCCGUGCCCCGACACGCGGGGUACGUCUCCGUGCCUCGGGUUCUGCCCGCAGCCUGAGCCAGCCGGGGCGCCCUCGCCUUGCGGCGUCGGGGCAGCGAGCCCAAGGAGCUCCUCCAGCUCCGCACUCCAUGCCUCGUGCGCCGGCGUGCCCUGCGGCGGCUCGUAGCGCAUCAUGACACGCGCGGCGAUGAUAGCCUCCGUCGGGGUCUGGGCGGGAGGCUGCCGAUGCUCGGAGCGGCUGCCCUCCACCUUGUCCCCCGGCGCCCUCGGGUCAGUAGGGCGUGAAUCGGUCGGCGUCGCCCGUGAUGCGCCGUGUUCCUGGUGCAGCUGUGGCUGCGGGUCGUCGGCCCGCGAGAGUGCUCGCUGUCCGGCACGUGUGGCAUUGUGGCUGCUCGCGCGACUGGCUCCGGCGCUAGGAGCCGCCGGCCCCCUCAGCCGGUUGUCUGCCGACCGCCGAGGGGGUGGUGGGGGCAGCUGCGACUGCGGCUGCGGCACCCGGGCAGGCUCAGGAUCGCUCUGAUCCUGCGACAUGCGUUGCACGUCAUGCGACCGCGUGCGUGCCGCCGGGGCGUCACGCGGGUAAAUCCUCGAGUCACCGGCCCGCUUGGGGGGCAUGAUGGCUGGUUCGACUGUCGGGGAAGAUGGAGCCGAUGCAGUUGUAGUCGACGGCGUCGGCGGUCACCGGCAAGCUCUCCUCAUGCACCCCCUACUUGGCACGACAGAUGUCGUAGCACGGGGCUCAGACACCGGGGAUGCGCUGGCACCCCCCUUUUUGGUUCGGCAGUGGGCGACGGGGAUCGCUCCGGUGAUCGCCGGCGAGGCCAAUGCGAGGCGUGAAAACACAAAGAACACGAGAACACUUUUUACCCAGGUUCGGGCCACCCUGAGGUGUAAAACCCUACGUCCUGCCUCUGAGUUUGUUAUUAGCCGGUGAACAAGGGGUUUACAAGUUGCCGGGGUGGGAGUCCCCGGGUGCCCUCUCUCUCUUUAGCUAAGUGCUAUUUGCUAUUCUCGGCUAGGGCUAGUGUGGAUCCGAGCCAACCAACCCGAACCGAACCCUUUGACCAUGGGAGGGGGUCCUCCUUUUAUACUGAAGGGGAUACCACAGGUGCCACAUUAAAUGGGUGACAAAUGUCAAGCAGGGAGCUAGUCUAGCUCCCCCUCGGUGUGCUGGCUUACAUGCACAGAGUAGCCCUGCAACUAGGGGCCUAAGCGCCUAAAAAUUACACCCGGCCAGUCACUUUAGACUGACUAGAUGGGGAAUCCCCUUUCUGUCGGUGCAUUAAAUGGUUGCGUGUGCUUCACUCUUCGUCCUGACGAACCCUGCACACAGGGAGUCCGCCGAGCGGCCACGUGGCGCCGCUGUUCUGCCCGCUCAGUCCCGCUCCUGUAACGGGCGCCUGCGCCCAGGAACACCCCCGGGGAGCGUUCAGGCGGGAAUUCCCUUGCUGCCCUCCAGGGCGACCCCCGCAGCCCGCCUAGCCCUGCCGGGCUGGUGACUUGCCGGGCAGCUUGUGCGGAGCUGCCCGGGGUGCGAUCCUUCCAGGGAGCAAGUGAGGUGGCCCACGCAUCAUGCAACGGUGGUACCCCGGGUGCCACGGGUGCAACACAAGGGCUUCACGGACUUGUUGAGUUACCUUGCUUCGGUUUUUCCACAGCCAAAUAAGUUGCCAAAGAGCACAUACGAGGCGAAUAAGAUUACAUGCCCGCUUGGAUUAGAUUGCGUGAAACAUCAUUCAUGUCCAAACGACUGCAUGGUAUACAUUGGAGAGUACGAGAACCAUGAGAGCUGCCACAUAUGCGGUGCAUCGAGAUACAAGAAGAAAAAUGCCAGAGCUGGCAAAGACGAUGGGGAAGAAGUGAUGAAGGGCAGGGGCAAAGACUGUCUGUUAUCUUACGGCAGGUGGCUGAGUUGAGCGUUGGAUGUAGAACGUUAAGGACGCGAGGUAUCUUGUCUAUCACGAUCCGGCGCAGGCUGCAUUCGAUCUUGUCGGGCACUACCGUGUGGAAGAAGCUGGGGUCCUAAGACACCCUGCCGAUGGGACUCAGUGGAGGAACUUGGACACGACAUUUCCUAAUUUCGGGCAGAGCCUAGAAACCUGGGGCUCGGUCUUAGCACUGACGGGAUAAAUCCUUUCGGAAACAUGAACAACAAGCACAGCACAUGGCCAGUGAUCUUGUUUGUCUACAACCUUCCUCCAUGGUUAAUCAUGAAGAGAAAGUACAUCCACAUGUGCAUGCUCAUACAGGGUCCAAAGCAGCCGGGAGCUGACCUAAAUGUGUAUCUGCAGCUAGUGAAGGAUGAGCUGAAGCAGCUUUGGAACCCUGACAGAGUGGUUUGGGACGCAAACAGGAGGGAGUACUUCACGAUGAGAGCAGCGCUUCUGACCUGCGUGCAUGACUACCCGGCGAAUGGAAAUACUUCAUGCCAGGUGACACAUGGCUACAAGGCAUGUACAAAGUGCGGGGAAAACACGACAUCGGAGAAGUUGCCUGCUUCAUCCAAAAUUGUUUACAUGGGCCACCGAAAGUGGUUGGAUGCUAAAGACCCUUGGAGGGAUGACAAGGAAAGGUUCAAUGGGAAGACGGAGCACGGGACAGCGCCGAAGGAGAAGUCUGGUAUGCAAAUUCUCGAAAUUGUCAACGAUCUUGAAAUUGUCCCUGGAAAGAUUGCUGUGAAGAAAUAUAAGGAACCUGAAGGCGUCGUGCGGAAAAGGAGGUCCGUAUUCUGGGACCUGGAGUACUGGGCACAUUUGGAAUGCCGCCACACCAUAGAUGUCAUGCACAUGGAGAAAAAUGUAUGCGACAGCGUGCUGGGGUUGCUGAUGAACAUUCCAGAGAAGACGAAAGAUGGACCCAAUGCACGGAAGGACCUGGAACUCAUGUCUAUCAGAAAAGAGUUGUGGGGCAAAGAUCAAGUGUCGGCAGCCGACAAGAAUGGUUUCGUGACGGUGACCACGCGGUGUCGUCUUGCAUGUUACAACCUGUACAAAGACGAUUUGCAUAGGAUGUGCCAGUGCCUGCAGGGCAUUAAAGUCCCAUCGAACUACUCGUCGAGCAUCAAGCAUGUAGUUGACAUGAAGAGUCACAGGCUAUCUGGCAUGAAGUCUCACGACAACCAUGUCAUACUCACUCAGUUACUUCCAGUCGCAAUCAGAGGUAUCAUGGAGCCGCACGUAAGGGAGACAAUCAUGAAACUUUUUGACUUCUUUGGCAGCAUCUCGCAGAAGUCAAUCACCGUUAGACGAUGCCAGAUACUGAAGGAUAGUAUGAUACAGAUUCUGUGCGAGCUGGAGAUGUUCUUCCCUCCAUCAUUCUUUGAUAUCAUGGUCCAUCUAAUGAUCCACAUAUGCGAUGAGAUCUUGUCCCUAGGGCCCUCGUUCCUACAUAAUAUGUAUGGCCCUGAACGAUACAACGGGGUUCUGAAGCGCUACGUUCGUAACAGAUCGCGUCUGGAAGGUAGCAUCGUGGAAGGCUUUAGGGCAGAAGAGUGCAUCGAGUUCUGCACGGAUUGGUUGGCCGAUCAGAACUUAAUAGGUGUUCCCGAAUCACGGCACAAGGGCAAGCUCGAUGGCGAAGGUGGCCUUGGACAUACAUACCUUAAUGUCUAUGGAAGAGGAAGGGAAGCUGACUUUGAAAGAGCACAUUGGGUUGUGUUGCAAACUGUCGAUUGCUGCCGGCCUUAUCAGAAAAUGCACAUGGAACAACUGCGAAUGAAAAUCCUAAAAGAGGAGAAGUCUGGAUCCACUGGGAGCACAAUAAAACAUUCGCAGCGUGGCUGAAGAAUUAUUGGUACGGCAGGGAGACGACCAAUGUAUCAGAAGAGACGGUUGCAUGUUUGUCACGGGAACCUGCUUACCAUGUCUCUAUAACUUCUAAACUGCGUCUCAGGACCGUAAAAACACGUAUCAAAAUAGUGGUGUAGUCAUGACUUCUGAGACCGCGACCGACGACAAUAGCAAAACCAAAGCGUUCUUCGGUGUUAUUGAGGAGAUCUGGGAAUUGGAGUACUCGAUCACAAAGAUCCCAAUGUUCCGUGUAAGAUGGACUAAAGCUGACAAAGAAGAAAGUCACAGGUUCACGACGAUGGUGCUACCUCCUGAGAUCCCUCGUGAACAAGUUGACGUGAGAAAAAUCCCGGCAAGAGAGGAACCAUGGGUCUUUGCUGAACAAUGCAAGCAGGUAUUCUACAUAGAUGACCCGGCAAAUAAAGGCCGCGUCGUAGUAAGAAGAGGGAAAAGAAGCAUUGUUGGAGUGGACGGAGUAACUUCACAAGAAGACUACGAAUGUUUCCAUGAUCCGACGACCGCCGCAGAUGACGAAGAAGUGGAACGCACGAUAUUAAUGAGGAAAAGGAGAGGGAAAAGAAGAAGUGAUGGGAGCGAGAGCGAGAAAAUACCACAAAAACCCUAACUCAGAAGCAGUUCUGCGAGGAGUCAAGUUAUAACUUACCGAAGGAAGGAGAAGCACUAGUAGUCACAUUGUAAAAUGUACCCGUACUGAAUCUUAAUGCAACCUUUGUACUAAGUGAAAUUAUGUGUGAUCGAUGUACUUUUGUGUAUGCAUGUUAGUACAUGGCUUUGUCACUCCAAAAAAAAACUAGACAAAAUGCAUGAAUUUAUUCAUCAAACUUCAACUUUUUGAUUUCAUCUAUCUCAACAAGUAUGGGAACAUAUCAACGGUUGCCUGGUUACCCGCCCGUUACUGAUGUAACAUCCCAAAAAUUUCAAAGUUUUACAUAUGCAUUGCAUCUAUAAGCAUCAUGCCACAAUUGCAUGUUUGAAUCUCAAAAGGCUUUAAAAGUUUUUAUUUCAAUUUAAACCUUAGGGUUUACACCCAUUUGAACUUUGGAUCUUCAAACCAAUAGGUUUUAUGUAUAAACGGGGUUUAAUGCAUAUAUAAGCUAUCCCAUAAUUUUUGGAUAAUUAUUUGGAGUUGAAAAAGUAUUUUAUUUAAAUAGAUAUAUGGCCCUAAAGGCAUUUAUAGAGCAAAUGUAUUUUUAUAUAUUUUAUUUUGAAGAGAAACUACUUCCAAAAGUGGUAUCAUGGUAGAAGAUGAUUUUACAAAUUUUAUGGUUUUUAUUCGGACCAAUUUGGAGUUCAAACUCAAAAGAUAUCAAAGAAAUGAGAAAAGCAGAAAAAGAAAAGGCUAAAAGAAAAAAAAAGGGAGAAACGGACCGGCCCGGCCACUUUGGGCCGAACCGGCCCAACCCCUCGCGCGCGCCGCCACCCGGCUGUCGCCCUCGCCACGCCCGCACCCGCUGACAGGUGGGACCCACCUGUCAGGGGCUUCUUCCUCAUUUGGAAGGCGCCCGCGACACGCGCCGCCUUCCUUCUUCGCCGCCGCGCGCCGUCACCGCCGGAAACUCCGCGCUCCGUCCAUAUCUCGUAGCCCCAAGCGCGUUCAUUUAAACCCCGCGACCCCCUCUUCUUUUCCCCUCUGGCCUCCCCCUCGAUUACGCCGCCAGGCCGCCGGAAUCGCUCGCCGGAGCCCCACCCGCGCCGUCGCCGUCUUCGCGUCAUGCCGACGAGCUCGGUGAGCCAUCUUCGUCGCCGUUCGCCCCAUUCUUCUCCUCUCCCUCUCGCGCACGCCGUGACGCGGUUCUUCUCCAUUUUUGUGCGCUGAAGCUCCCCGCCGAUGAACGCCCGAGGCCGCACCGCCGUCCGCCGCCCGCCCCGCCCGCUCGUCUUCGAUCUAGUCGAGGCCCCCGACAGCCCGACCCCGCGCCGACCGCGCCCCCGCCUUCGCCUCGACGAACCGCGCGCGCCCGUGCCUUCCCCGAGCCGCCCGCGUCGCCGGAGCACCCCGCGCCGCCGCCGCCCGUGCCGUGCCGCUGCCGGAGAAGCUCGCCGGAACCCUAGGUGAGCCCGACCUCCCCUCGUCCGUCCGAUCUUUGAUCAAUGGUGUAGAUUAGAACAUUUUAAUUCACAUAACCGAACCGGUACGCACCAAUGAGAACGCGCCACGUGGCACCUAUUUUAUAAAAUGAAAAUCUAAUUUUUAAUCCCCCGGAAUAAUUAAGUGGCCUUUUUGCAGAAAAUCCCCUGUCUUUUCAAAUGAUCAUAACUUUAAAUCUGUUUGGCCAAAUUUACUUAUCCACACCUUUUUGGAACCCUUAGGAUAUGUAGAAUCUUUUGGCUCGGUCCAAUUUAAAAUUUGAAUAUUUGUGUCACAUUCAAAUUACAGAUUAGGGUUUUAUGCCAUUUAAAUCAUAACUAAUUAAUUAUCUGGAAGUCCUUUUUGAAUGGAAGCAGUGACCAAAAUUUUGUUUUAUUGUCCUCUGUCCAAUGGGACAGAUAAAUAAAUAUUUUGAAUUAAAUUGCUUUGCAGAUGCAAAUAAAACCUCAUUUUAGGGUUUAAACCCUAGCCUUUGCUUUUGCUUAAAAACCCUAAUUGCAUGUGCUUAAUUCUCAAGGCUUUGGAUCUGUAGAUCACCCAAAUAAAAUAACCAAACUCAUGUCACAUGUUUUGCAUUGCAUCAUGGCAUACAUAUUCUUUUGCCUGUAUGGUGUGUUUAUGUAUGCAUUGUUUGUAUUGUUUAGUUUUCUCGGAGAGCGAACUGUGUGAUUGCGAAGAGUGUUUGAAUACCAACUACUAUUAAGGCAAGUUCACUUUGACCAUCAUCCCAUUAUUUUAUUAUGCACUAGAUUUUAUUAGUUGCAUUGUUAGGAUUAUUACCGUAUCUAUGCUAGCGAUGAUCUGUCCUAGUAGUAUAGGAUACCCUUUGUCAUGACCUUACCACCAAUUGCCAUCGUGAUAGUAAAAUGCUAUGCUAUGAUAAUAUACGAGGGCGGUAUUAUUACAAUGUGAUACUAUUGAAUUACAAUAUGAUUUUCCUAGUGUAUGGCAAAACAAGUAAUUCAAUGAACCGUCCUGGGUGGGCUGCUUUGAGUAUUCGGAUGUCAUGACGUUAGGUCCAUUUCUAUGAGGCCCGCUGAGUCGUCUCUCCGUGUGAUUCGGGGGCGUCCAUGGUUGUCUCCCCGUGCGAUUCGGGGAGCGCCUGCGUCACAAUGUGGGAUGCCACCCGGGGUAACCAGAGACUGGACUAGUUUCCUGUUUAGUAGCUUCCAGUACAACCACAUGGUAUUAUGGGCUCUGCCAGGAUGGAUGUAAGAAAUAUGAACCCGGAUCCGAGGUGACAUCGGUAUGUAGCAGUGUAGGUGGGGACGCGUCCCUCAGGUGGUCUGGGAGAUUAUGUUCUGAAAAUUCCUGUAGUCGAUGCCGUUGCUACUCUAUCCUGAGGACAGUAAGGGAUUAACACGUCGAUUUCUUGUGGGUAAAGUGUACCACCUCUCGAGAGUGUCAAACUAAGUACUUAGCCGUGUCCCCGGUUACGGACAAUUAUGAGCAACUAGAUAUUGGGGCUGUAAAGAAGGUCUCACUCAUUCCAAUUUCUUAAUAAAAUGAAUGGUUUGAACUGGAUAGGAGCAUUGAUGUUUCUACUCAAUAUGCCUAGGUUAAUAGGAACAUGGGUGUUUCUACCCCGUGUCCAAUAGAAUUAAAAACUACUUGAUUAAAAAUGAUAGGAUUGAACUAUGAUUACUUUUAUGCAAACAGCCAAACUCCACCUAGCCAAAUUUGUGCAUGUACUGGGUAGGUCCUUUAUAACUCUGGUAAACUUGCCAAUACAUUCAAAUGUAUUGACCACAUAGUGGCUGCAAUUAACAAUGCAGGUGGAUCCAACGAUGAGUGAGGUUCAUCGUUCUGUCAUGGGUCAUGUGCUUACAUUCCAACAUGCUCUCACCUUGGAGUAGUUGAGGCCCUUUUGUUCUACCCUUUUCCGCUGCAGUUUUGAAACAUUGUUUUAUGAUGAUGAAAUAGUAUUUGUUUUAUGCUGGCCCAAGAGGUCAUGCGAGGUUGUAAGUACUAUUUAAAUUCUGAAUGAUGCGAUGUAAUAAAGUACUUAGACCUUUGUUUCUGUAUAUUUCAUCAUGAAACUGUGUGUACUAGUGAGUCGAUCCAGGGACUAGCACGGUAAACACAGAGAUCGAACCCUAGUAAGGGGGAGGAUCGCUUCAACUGAUGAGUAUAUGCAUACAUCAGUAACGGUCGGGUAACAAGGCGACCGUUACUGAUGUUCUGUUGAGCAUUGCUCACUUGAGCACAUCAGUUGCGGGCGUUUUGUUCGGCGCCCGUUAAUGAUGAUUGAAGGAACAUCAGUAAUGGUCACGUUCCUUACCCGCCCGUUACUGAUGUACAUAGGGUAUAUAAGGGAACACGCCGAAACACUUAGUCUCAUUCUCACCUGCGCGUCCUCCCCUAACCCGAGAGACCGGCAGUGGGUGCUUCCCUAACCCUAGCGAAGCGCUGCCGGAUUUUUACGCCGCCGCCGCCAUCGACCCCGCGCUGCCCCGAGCCCGCCGACGGCCUCCUCGUCCUCGCCUCCGCGCCGUCUUCCUCCUCCGCCCCGAGCCCGCGCCUCCCCGUCCUCGCCCGGAGCCCGCCACUGACGGCCUCGUCGUCCUCGUCCCCGAGCCCGAGCGCCGCCACCCCGCUGUCGUCCUCGCCGGAGCGCCGCCACCCCACGCCGCCGUCUCCCUCCUCACCGAGCCCGCGCCGUCUCCCUCCUCCCCGAGCCACAGGUGCGCGCCUCUGCCUCCUUCUCCUCUGCCUCCCUCCCUCUCCUCUGAUUUAGCUUGAUUUAGGGUUAGGAUUUGUUCCUGUUAAUUUAGGGUUAGGGUUAGGAUUUGUUGCUGUUAAUUUAGGGUUAGGAUUUAGGAUUUGUUGCUGUUAAUUUACAAUUAGCAUUGUAGUUUGUAGUAGUAGAUAAUUUAUAUCAAAUUAGAUGUACAUUUCCCACCACACACCAGGGCAUGUAUACAUUGUGAAUUUGAUAUAGUAUUGAGUUAGAUGGGCACACAUAUUGUAAUAGCUAAUUUGUAACAUGGAUACAUUUUAUUUACCAUUGUGAAUUUGAUAUAGUAUUGAGUUACAGAGUAUUGUAGUGAGCACAUUUUACAUGAUGUUUUAUGCAUUGUAAUAUAUAGCACACAUGAGUAUGCAUUGUAGUUUUUUAUAUGCUAUAUACAUGAUGUUUUAUAUGCUAUAUACAUGUUGUUUUAUAUGCUAUGCAUGUAGUUUUUUAUAUGCUAUACAUGUAGUUUUUUAUAUAGCGGUUUUAUAUGCUAUUUUGGAGAAUUGAGUAAUGAAUUGUGGGCCCGACCAUCGUGUCGGGUCAUUGGAGAAGUGGCCGGCCAUCGUGCCGAGGGGGUACAUAUGCGGGUGGGUUUUUAUGCAGGCUUCGAGCUCCUAGUAGAGAAAAUUUGCUAGUUUUUUAGCAUAGGUCAUGCCGAAAUUUUCGGCCGAUAUAUAUUUGAUGAUUUUGAUGGCAUAGGUAUGAAAUGGGCAAGAGUAGCCAUAAACCAGUUCUUGAUCGGGAGGAGGUAGACCGUGUCGAUGAAGAGUCUUCAUCGGGAGAGCAAAUUGCCAGCUCUGGCUCAGGUAGCUCUCGUUCAGAAGAGCGCGACAACGAGCGAUGGGUGGAAGAGAGUAACCCGUAGCCUUCUGAAACUCCCGCUAAGAAGCCAAGGAAGAAGACGCUGAGGGGGAGCCACAACUUGAAGGAGUUUUGUUACGUGGUCACCCGGCACUCUAAGAGAGGCCGCCCGGAGUCGCCUGAGAGGGCACAGAAGGCCUUCGCAACGACCUGUGGAGCCGUUGCACGUAAGUACUGCAAGAUCACCAACGAGUGGAGUGACAUCUCCGAAGUCGUUAGAAACACGUGCAUCGCGGAUGUUGCAAGGAGGUUCCAAGUCACUGACGAGUGGCGCGAGCGAUUCCUAGCGGCCGUCAACAUAGCAGUGCACAAUGGACUUGCUAAUUGGAAAACCACCGCUAGAAAGUGGAUGGACAAACCCUACGAGAUCAUCAAGAAGAAAUGGCCGUCGGUAACUGAUGAGGCCGAAUGGGAAAAAUUCAAGAAGGAAUCGUCUGACCCUGCCUUCAUUGCGAAGAGUGAACGUAUGCGGGCGUUGCGCGCGAGGAAGCCCUUGAACCACAGGCUAGGGAGUGCAGGGAAAGAGGGAAAGAAGAAGGUCUGGCGCAAGCAGGACCGAAUUCUCAAGGCGGCAGGCAGGGUGCCUCCAGUGCAUGACAUGCUGGAGGACCAACGUGCUAGAGAAUAUGCACAUCAGCACAUGACACCCGAGGAGUGGGCGGGCAUUGAGCCAAUGCAGCCGCCUGUUAAAAAUUUUACGGUAAGGGUUCACAUGCAUUUAUUUGUUUUCGGCGUGAAUUAUGACACUCCUGAUCCAUAUAAACUCAUGUCCUGAUCAAUGUUAGAAUCCCACGAGACUAUGGCUUCUUUGACCAAGAAACCGGGAACAUUCAGGAACGUCCUAUCACCUUUGGUGUGGAGUUCAACGAACUGUUCCACCUCUUCAACCGCCAAAAGCUUGAUAUCAACCUCUUAAGGCUGUGAUCUGCCUACCAAAUAAGAGAACUGCGGCGAAUCGAGGUAAAAAAUGUAGCCAUUCUAGACCCUGCGAUGUUCAACUACAGUGACAUCGGUCUUGAGCCAGAAAAGAAUGCCUCAAGAACCCUUGCAUCUAAAUACUUGGUGGCAUGUCUCGAGAAAUACGCGGACCACGACUUUAUCCUCUUCUUCCUUAAUUUGGAGUAAGUUCAAUUUUAUAUAUGGAACCGUUUGUUUUUUCUAAUUCAGUCUUUCUUAUACACCCUUAGAUACUAAAGUUUGUUUCUUUUGAAAACAGAGACCAUUGGGUCACACUACUCAUUUGUUUGCCUUGGUCCGUGGUGUACUACUCCGAUUCACUACUUCGAAGAAGGGUGUUCAAAGUGGCGACCAAGGGAAAACUAGCUGGUAAAGGCUAUAAAGACGAGCCUCACCACAACCACAGGUUCCCUUGGCAGCAACAGCCGCCCGGCAGUGUCUUCUGUGGCUACUACUGCUGUCACAUCCUUAUGGAGAAUGCCAGCAUGUUCAAGCCUAAGUAGAAGGGGUCAGUCGCGGCGAUGGAAGAGUAUUGGCGGUCCCGAAUGACAAUGGGACACCGACCUAAAGGGGUUGUGUAUAACAUUCAAAGGGAGUUCGCCCAUCUCAUUAAAAAUGAGUUCAUCAAGCCUAGUGGGGACUUCUACGAACGCGUGGAACAAGUGGUGUCUAGGGUUCACCCACAACAUUAGGACCUAGCUUGAAAUGAGAUACAUUUGAGUCAUAGCACGGGGCCUUGACACCGGGGAUGCGUGGGCACCCCCUUUUAGGUUCGGCAGCAGGCGACGAGGAUCGCUCCAGCGAUCACCGGCGAGGCCAAUGCCAAGUGUUCGAGCACAAUGAACGCGAGAUCGUUUACCUAGGUUCGGGCCACCCUGAGGUGUAAAACCCUACGUCCUGCUUCUGUGUUUGCUAUUAACCGGUGAACAAAAGUUUACAGGUUGACGGGGGGAGUCCCCGGGUGCUCUCUUCUUUUAGCUAAGUGCUACUUGCUAUUUUUGGCCUGAGUUAGUGUGGAUCUGAACGAACCGAACGCUUUGACCGUUGCGGGGGUCCUCCUUUUAUACCGAAGGGGAUACCACAGGUGCCACGGUGCAUGGGUGACAAAUGGCGACCAGGGAGCUAGUCCAGCUCCCCCUCGGUGUGCUGGCUUACAUGCACAAAGAGUAGCCCUGCAACUAGGGGCCUAAGCGCCUAAAAAUUACACCCGGCCAGUCACUGUAGGCUGACUGGACGGGGAAUCCCCUUUCUGUGGGUGCAUUAAAUGCUCGCGUGUGCUUCACUCUUCGUCCUGACGAACCCUGCACACAGGGAGUCCGCCGAGCGGCCACGUGGCGCCGCUGUCCUGCCCGCUCGGUCCCGCUCCUGUAACGGGCGCCUGUGUCCCCCUCCACCCGCAACCCGUGGGAAGCGGGCGCUCGUGGAGAGUGGGGUCGAAUCGGAGCUCAGCUGGCCCGACCUAGAGUCCUCCGGCGACGAGGCGGGCCAGGUUGCCGGGGUCCGAGCGGCCCUCCUCGCGGAGGAGGAGGAGGAGGAGGAAGACGACGCGCCCCUCAUCAUGCGAAGAUCAAGGGCGCCCGCGGCGGCCGCCGACGCCGCGGCGACUUCAACGGUGACCAGGAGCCCGGCAACUCCUCGGGCGCCCACAGCCCCGCCUAAUCGGGGGCUCUUCCGGGGCUUCGAGUUCAAGCUCAACCCCCCGAAGGACGGCACCUCGUCGGGAGCCGGGAAGAGGGGGAGAGCCGACUCGCCACCCGCCGCGCCGAGCAAGAAGACACGCAUCUGGGCCGGCAUGGGGGCCGGCGGCACCGCCAUUGCGCCCACUACUGACCCAACUCCAGUAAAGGAGGAGCCGGCAACAGGUACCGAUCCCCUCCUUGAUCCCAUUGCACAUUCUAAUCCCGCCUGCUGAGCUGCAACCGCUCCGCCUUCACGACUCGCAGGCGAAGUCCAGCCCGCGGCAGGCGGCCCGGCAACAGGGGCCGGAACGGGAGAGGAGGAGGUUCUCCCCGCAAGUUUGGCGGCCCCGCAAGGUACUCAUUCAGAGCUCCCUUGAGCUCACCGCUGGCAAUCCACCUUAUUUCUGAAUUCUAACCUCACUCUUUAUCGCAGUCCCGACUGUGCUCACAACAGGAGCGGGGGCCGUGGUGGUUGACCUCGGCUCUUACGCCGAGGACGUGGAGACAAGGGAGGAGCCAGGAGAGGCUCCUGCGCCCAGCUCCUCCACGGCAGACAUGACAGUGGCGGCGCCCGCCGUUACUACCGAGGGGAAGCUCGGCGGCGCUUCCCGGGCCGCGCAGGCCAGGGACGCGGAUCCCGCGAUCGCCCAGUAGGAGGCGCCUCCUGCCGGGGAAGUGGCAACUCUGCCACCCCCGCAACCCAUGGGCGCGGGCGUGGAGGAGGCUGCGGCAGGGGAGCAACAGGAGGCUCUGCCGCAAGCAGACGACGCCCCUCCCGGCCAAACAGUGGUGGUGGGGGCCUCGUCAUCAUCUGCUGCUGCCUUCGGCCCGGACUUCAGUAUUCUCGCCGGGCCGACUUCAGACCCAAUCACCUGGGACCCAAGCAUCUACGACCAGGGGCACUAGUUCCUUGACGCGAUCAAGGAACAACAGCUGGCGUUCGUCACCUCCUUCAAUCAAGUGAGGGAACGCCACGAGCUCGCGAAGGGCCAGCUUGGCGAGGUGCGGCAGGCCGUUGAGAGGGAGCGGCAGGAGCUCUCCCGGCUGCGGGAGGAGGCACGCCUGGCCCGGCAGGCCAGGGACGAAGCCGCGGCGCCGGUCGUCCCAGAAGCGGAGCUCCCCCGGCAGCUGGAGGCCACGCGCGCCGAGCACCGGCAAGCUCUAUACUCGCUCGCCGCGGUGCAAGCGAAGGCCAGGAAAGAGCACGAGGAGGUGCAUGCUACGGCCUAGGCUCGUCUCAACGAGAAGAGCGAGCUGGUCUGCAGCUACCUCUCCCAACUCCAGGGGCUGCGCACCAAGCUUGAGGAGCAGGCUAAGGCUGCGGAGGACGCGGCAGCGACGUCGGUACGGCGGGAGAAGUAGCUCAACUCCACAAAGGAGAAGAGCGCCCAGCUCGAGUUCGAGGUGGCCGCCGCCCGAGAGGAGCUCGUCAAGGCAGGCGAGGACAACGUGGCCAAGGCCAAGGAGAUCGCGCGCAGGCGGACCUCCUCCGCAAUUCCAAGCACGCCGUGGCGCUGGCAUGCAGCAACCAUGCCACGCUGGUGGAGCAGCACCGGAGGGAGACCUUGAAGCUGCUCGAGAUCGCCAAGGUAGUGCGCUACCUGCUACCGCGAUUCGAGCUGCAGACCGCGCAGGUGGACGGCACGGACACUGUGGCGGGGCCGCCGCCGGCGCCAAGCACCGGUGGCGGUGCCACCACAGCGUCUCUGCGCAACCCUCGCCCUGGAGACACCCUCCGAAGGGGUGCGGCAGGAACGCUGUGGCGGGGCCACCACCGCGUCUCCGUAGCAACCCUCUCCUCGGGAUUGCCUGGUGGAGGGGUGCGACAAGGACGCGAUGGCCGUGCACCCAUCGGCACUGAGCGCUGAUGGCAUGCACCCCCAUCGCGUCUCUGCGGCGUCCCUCGCCUUUGCAGCCACCUUCCUGACUUCGCUCUGAGCCGCUCCAUGGCCACCGCGCCCUUUUAUAGGCGCGGUGAAGAAUCUUGCCACCAUGCGCGCCUAGUCACCGUGGCACACGUGGGGUCACACUCCUUGCAGUGCGGUAAGGGCCUUGCCAUCGUGCGCGCCAAGUCGCCGCAGCACCCGUGGCGGCUCCCUCCUGCUGCAGGAACCUCGGAGUGCGGUGAGAACCUCAAAGUGCGGUUGCUACGCCCAAUCGGGCACCACUACAUGACACAACCCGUGAGCGACCCACGAGCAUUACAGUGCGCACAACUCCGUCCCUGCCCUGCAUGUCAGAUUCUUACCGAGCCCAAGAUGCUGCAAAAAAUUUCGAAACACACGAAAAAAGACUCGUGACACGGAUAAAACACAGGUAACCCUCCUGCCUCCCAGCCCCCGGGCACAGAAUGGUCAGUAUCAAACUUGGGUGCAAGCACCCUACUAUCCCAGGACGCAGCUCCUGCGUGAUGCGCGUUGCGGGGAGCCAGGCAACGGCAUGGCCCCGUGUCGGAGUAAUCCGGCAACGGGUUUUUCGUUUUCGAGGCUCCGGCAGCCCCCUGCUCACAACCAAGGAUGGAAAGAUACUUCUGUGCACCUAAAGCAGGAGACAGAAGGAGAAAAAACAUGCCAAUAAUCGAGGCAGCUUGAAAUUCAGAGGAAGGUACUUAUCUUUAUUCAUAGAAACUAGCGGUUUACAAUCAGGGGUUGCCCUGCUACACUAGUUCGAGAGGUAUGCUACCGGAGCAUCACCUGUGGGUCAGGCUCCGCCGCUUCACAGGUAGAACUUGCGCAAGUGCUCAAGGUUCCAACUGUUUUGCACCGGCGAGCCUUCUUCGGUUUCCAGCCGGACAGCCCCGGCCUGGUCACAUGUACUACCUGGAAGGGGCCCUCCCAUUUCGGAGCUAGCUUGUUCGCGGCCUUCGUUGCUUGUAUCCCGCGUAGGACAAGGUCUUCGAUCUCGAGCUCCCGGGGAUGGACCCGCCUGUCAUGGUAACAACGGAGUCCCUGCUGGUAGCAUGCAACUCGCACAGCAGCCCGGCAUCAAAGUUCUUCGAUGAAGUUUAGAUUGUCAACCCUCUGCUCGUGUUGGCUAUGGUUGCCGUACGCGCGUACCCAAGGGGAUCCAUGCUUGAGCUCGAGGGGCAGCACCACUUCUGCUCCGUAGACAAGGGCGAAAGGAGUUUCACCCGUUGCCCGGCUAGGUGUGGUCCUGAUUGACGACAGCACGGGCUAAAGUUCUUCGACCCAGUGCUUCCCGUGGCCUUUGAGCUUGUCAAAGGUUCUUGUCCUGAGCCCCCGCAGCACCUCGGCGUUGGCUCGCUCCGCCUGUCCGUUGCUCCUCGGGUGAGCAACAGAAGCGAAGUGGAUCUUGGUGCCCAUGUCCUCGCAGUAGGCUUGGAACACGACGCUCGUGAACUGUGGGUCGUUGUCGGUGAUGAUGCCGUUAGGCACACCAAACCGGCACAAGAUGCCUUUGAAGAACUUGAUGGCGGCCUGAGCGGUCACCUUCCGCAUUGUCUCCACUUCCACCCACUUGGAGAACUUGUCGAUGGCCACGAGCAAGUACUCGUAGCCGCCAACCGCCCUUAGCAACUUGCCGACGAUGUCCAGCCCCCAGACCGCGAACGUCCAGGAAGAUGGGAUCACUUGAAGGGCAUGUGCCGGCUGGUUGUUCUUCUUUGCGUGGAAUUGACACGCCUCACACGUCCUGACCAGUUGCCCGACGUCAGCCAGUGCCGUAGGCUAGUAGAAGCCGUGCCGGAACGCCUUGCCGGGCAGAGCCCAGGAGGCCACAUGGUGUGAGCAUGCGCCUCGAUGUAUCUCCUCCAGCAGCGCGCGCCCUUCAUCUUGGGGCACGCAGAGGAGCUUCUCCCCGUUUGCACGCCGCCGGUAGAGGUUCCCGUCCACUGGGGCGUACAUCUUGGCUUGCCGGGCUAAACGCUCCGCGGCAACGUUAUCUUCCAGGAGGGCUCCUCCCUUCAGGUAGCGGCCAAUAUCCACUGCCCAAGGCGUGGUUUCCCUACUCAUGCAUGUCACUAUGCCAGUGGCAUGGACCUCUGAUGCCGCGAGGUUUCCUUCGGUUGUCGGGGGGGCUUCCCCGGCAGCCGGCUUGGGGUCGACCGAAGGCAGGGUCUGCCUGUGCCAGAACACCCCCGCCAGGACCUUCCGGCGCUCCGCUGCCAACUUGGACAGCUUGUCAGCCGCGAAGUUAUCCUUGCGCUUGACGUGCUCAAAUCGCAAAACCUUGAACUUGCGUUCCAGCUUGCGGACUUCAUCCACGUACGCUGCCAUCUGCGGGCAGUCAUAGUCCUUAUUAACCUGGUUGAUCACGAGUUGGGAGUCCCCGCGAACAACCAGGCGCUUGAUAUCAAGGACGGUCGCCGCCCGCAACCCAGCGAGCAACCCUUCAUACUCAGCCGUGUUGUUGGUGGAGUUGGGGAAGUCAAGCUGGAUGGCGACCUUCAGCUGAUCGCCAGUGGGCGACUCGAUGACGACUCCGGCGCCAGCCCCCUGCAGGCUGAACGGGCAGUCAAAGUACAUGACCCAGUGGCCCUCGUCCAGCUUGUCGGGCAGGCUGGUCUCUGGCUCCUCUUCUUCUAUGCCCGUCGAAAUCCACUCCGCAACGAAAUCGGCCAUUGCCGCACUCUUGAUGCUCCUAGUGUUGGUGAAGUGCAAAUCGAACUCUGACAAUUCCAUACUCCACUCGGCCACCCUCCCGGUGGCUUCAUGGUUGGUGAGGGCCCACUCGAGGCAGAACCCUGACACCACCGUGAUGCGGUGCGCCUGUAAGGAAUGGCGCAGCUUGCGUGAUGCAAGCAGAAUCCCCAGCAAGAGCUUCUGCACUUGCGGGUACCGUGUGCGGGCGUCGCGCAGCACCGUGCUGACAAAGUAUACAGGGUGCUGCACGAGCCGUUUGCGCGGUGUUGAUGCCAUUGGUUCGUCGGCGAUCCCUGGGUUCGAGGCGGUUGCCGGGGGCCGCUCAGCCCCCUGCCCCGCAACCUCAGCCACCGGGUGGUCUUCUUCCCUCUUGGCAACCAGCACUGAGCUGACCACUUGGUCAGUCGCCACUAGGUAGAGUAACAGCGGCUCGCCCGGCUUGGGGGCGACGAGGAUGGGCAGCGACUUCAGAUACUGCUUGAGAUCCUAGAACGCCACCUCAGCCUUGGGGGUUCAAUCGAUCGGGCCCUUCUUCUUCAUCACCUUGAAGAAGGGCAGGGCGCGUUCGCCCAGCCUCGAGAUGAAGCGCCCCAACGUGGCAACGCAGCCGUUGAGGCGCUGGACGUCCUUCAACUUGUAGGGAGCCUCCAUUUUCUCGAUAGCCUCUAUGUUCUUUGGAUUGGCUUGAAUCCCCCUGUGCGAAACCAAGAAACCCAGAAGCUGACCCGAGUCCACACCAAAGGUGCAUUUCUCAGGGUUCAACUUGAGCUUGAUCCUUCGGAGGUUAUCAAACGUCUCCUGUAGGUCAUCAACCAGCGAGUCCCCAUGCUUUGACUUGAUGACGAUGUCGUCCAUGUAGGCCUCUACGUUUCGGCCUAGCUGGGGUCCCAAACACUCACGCAAUGCAUGCUGGAAUGUUGAACCCGCGUUCUUCAGCCCGUGUAACAGUAGCAGCCAACUAGGGUGAUGCACGCUGUUUUCUCCUCGUCUUCGACUGCCAUCUUAAUUUGAUGGUAGCCGGCAAAAGCAUCCAAAAAACAUAGCAAAUCGCAACCGGCAGUGGAAUCUACUAUUUGGUCAAUGCGAGGUACAGGGAAAUGAUCUUUAGGACACGCACGGUUAAGAUCAGUAAAAUCCACACACAUGCGAAGUUUAUUCUUCCCCUUGGGUACUACUACAGGAUUAGCUAACCAAGUGGGGUACAGUACUUUCCUGAUAGCCCCCACAGCUUUGAGCUUGUCCACUUCUUGCUUGAUGAAAUCUUUGUGCUCCUCUGCUUGCCGGCGGAUCUUCUGCUUGAUGGGGCGGGCGUCUGGACGCACCGCGAGUCGAUGCUCGAUCACCUCCCUAAGAACUCCGGGAAGGUCCGACGGUUCCCAAGCGAACACGUCGGCGUUCUCCCGGAGGAAUGUGACGAGGGCGCUUUCCUAUUCGGCAGUGAGGUUCGCACCGAUGGUGACGGUGUGCUCAUCGUUGCCAGCUUGGAGGGGCAGCUUCUUCACCCUGGCGGCCCCCUCCUUGAGCUUCUGGCCCUUGCCGGGCACGAGCUCGAGCCUGCGCCGCCCUCGGCAAGCUCUUGCGGGGUAGCGCGGGCCUUCUUCGCUGCGGGGCGAUCGCCUGGGAACGAGCCUUCGCUUCCGACGACGUCCUCGUCACCGGAAUUGGCUGCGGCGGCGGCCUUGACGACCUCGCUAACACACCAGGCUGCGUCCUUGAGAUCGCACCUGAUGAAGAGGACUCCAUACGUGGACGGCAUCUUCAUCACGUCGUAGGCGCCAUGAGUCACCGCCAUGAACUUGAUCAGCGCCGGCCGACCAAGGAUCCCAUUGUAGGGCAACGGGGUGUGCGCCACGCCGAACACCAGGUGCUCGGUCCUGAACGCAUCCCAGGACCCGAAGGUAACCAGCAGUGUGAUGGGCCCCGGGGGGCGCACGAUCCCGGGGUUCACUCCCCGGAACGGGUCAGUGGGCUUCAGCUGUUCCAGCGGCAGCUAAAGUUUCUCCAUUAACCUGGCGGACAGGAGGUUUAGCCCCACUCCGUUGUCCACCAGCACCUUGGUCACCGUCACAUUUUUGAUGAUCGGUGAGACCACAAAGGGUAGAACUCUUGAACCCGGCUGCCGGGUUGGGUGAUCAUCGGCGCUGAAGGUGACCGGCACAUGCGACCACUUUAGCGGCUGUUGCGCCUCCGCGUCCGGCAACAGCGCACACACCUCUCGGAUGAGGCGCUUCACCGCGGAGUGGGAUGAGAGAGCGUAAGCUCCCCCAUGGAUGCAUGCGAUGCCACGGGGCUCCAGGAAGCCAGGCUCGUCCCCCGCGCUGCAAUCAGACUUACGCUGCUCCUCAACGCAAGCCUUGUCUCGUCCCCGGGGAGGGCGCUCCCUGUCGGCAUGGGCCUGGCCGCAUCCCCCCUGGGCUUCCUCCCUGCCGGUGCCCCCACGGGCAGGCUUCGGCCCCGCUCUGGGGUCGUUCGGGCAAUCCCGGGAGAGGUGCCCGAUGUCGCCGCAGUUGAAGCAGGCGCCGGCCGCUCGGCGUUCCUCGUGGCGCUGCUCGGGCCUCUACUUGAUACCCUGCAGGAUGCGGCAAUCCUAAUUGUCAUGGGUGGCGUUGGCGUGGAUGGGGCAACGGGGUGCGUCGCCCGGCUUGCCGCCCGACCCGCCACCGGGCGAGGCCUUUUUCGCAGGCCUCGCGGUAGCCCUCGACUCCGCGGCCAGGACCUGCUUCCCGUUGCGUUUCCAGGAGCCCUUCUUCUGCGAGCCCUCAGCUGGGCUCGUGGCAGCCUUGGCUGCAAGCUCGGGCGCCAAGCGCCCUUCCUCGGCCAUGGCCCACUUGUGCGCCAGGGCGUAGAGAUCCUGCGUCGUCCGGACCCGAUGCGUGCUCAACUUCUCCCACAUCUUGGGGUCACGGACGUUGAUGGCGAAGGUGUUGACGAUGGCGGUAGCCUCCGUCUCCGGGAUGGAGUAGGAGAGGCUGGAGAAGCGGUUGACGAAGCUCGUAACGUCUCUCCCGGCUUCUGCACCACGGUGUGCAGCUCCGCCAUGGUUCCUGGGCGCUUGUAGUCAACCUAGAACGCACUCGAGAACUGCUCGCGCAGGUCCGCCCAAGUGGCUAUGGACCCGGUAGGCAGGUUGAGCAGCCACGUUCUCGCUGAUCCCUUAAGGACCAUCGGGAACCAGUUAUCCCUAACCUUGUCGUCGGCACCGAUGGCGUGCAUCCCCAACGUGUAGGUCAGGAGGAAAUCCUUCGGGUUCAUGGUCCCGUUGUACGUCCCCAGCGCCGGCGCUCGGAACUUGCAGGGCCAUGUCACCCGGCGCAGCUCGCGGGUGAACGCGGUGCAGCCGUCCUCGGCGCCCAUGGGGGCAUCCUCCUCCUCCUCCCAGCGCUGGUGGAGAUCCUUCUAUUGGCGGGCGUUCAGGACGCCGCGCGCGUCACCCCGAGUGAUGGUUGGUGACGAAUCCGAGGACCCCUCGGGAUCCCCGCCUCCUUGCCCUCCCUGCGUGGGAGGGUUUUCUCCCUGCCCCGAGGCGCGGGGCGCGUCUCCGCGUCCCGGGUUCUGCCGGCGGCCUGAGCCAGUCGGGGCGCCCUCGCUUCGUGCGCCGGCAUGCCCUGCCGGGGUUUGGGCUGGGGGCAGUCGAUUCUCCGACCGGCUGCCCUCCGCCCUAUCCCCCGACGCACCCGGGUGAGUAGGGUGUGAACCCGUCGGCAUCGCUCGCGACGCGGUGUGCUCAUGGCGCAGCUGCCGCUGCGCGUCUACGGCCCGCGAUUCAACUCGCUGGCCAGCGCGGGUGGCAUCGCGGCCACUCGCGCGACCGGCUCCGGCGCUGGGAGCCGCUGGCCCCCUCAGCCGGUUGUUUGCCGAUGGCCAAGGAGUUGGGGGUGGCAGCUGCGACUGCUGCGCCCGAGAGGGCUCAGGGUUCUCCUGAGCCCGCAACGCGGGUGGCGUGUCGUGCGAUCGCGUGUGUGCCGCUGGGGCCUCAUGCAGGUCGAUCCGAGAGUCACCAGCCCGCUUAGGAGGCAUAGCGACGGCUCUGUCGUCGAGGGAGACGAGGCCAAAGCUACCGUAGACAACGGUGCUGGCGGUCACCAGCGACCUCUCCUCGCGUGCCCCCCUACCUGGCGUGCCAGAUGUCAUAGCACGAGGCCUUGAGACCGGGGAUGCGUGGGCACCCCUUUUAGGUUCGGCAGCGGGCGACGAGGAUCGCUCCGGCGAUUGCCGGUGAGGCCAAUGCCAAGCGUUGGAGCACAAUGAACGUGAGAUCGUUUACCCAGGUUCGGGCCACCCUGAGGUGUAAAACCCUACGUCCUGCUUCUGUGUUUGCUAUUAACCGGUGAACAAAGGUUUACAUGUUGCCGGGGGGAGUCCCCGGGUGCUCUCUUCUUUUCGCUAAGUGCUACUUGCUAUUUUUGGCCUGAGUUAGUGUGGAUCUGAACGAACCGAACGCUUUGACCAUUGGCGGGGGUCCUACUUAUAUACCGAAGGGGAUACCACAGGUGCCACGGUGCAUGGGUGACAAAUGGCGAGCAAAGAGCUAGGGUAACUCCUCCUCGGUGUGAUGGCUUGCAUGCAGAUUGAGUAGCCUUGAAACUAGGGGCCUAGGUGCCUAGGAUUUACCCCAGGCCAGUCACUGUGGGCUGAAAGGACGGGGAAUCCCCUUUUGGUCGGAGCAUUUAAUGCUAGCGUGUGCUUCACUCCUUGUCCUGGCGAACCCUGCGCACAGGGUGCCCGCCGAGCGGCCACGUGGGGCCGUCGUUGCUCCCGCUCGCCCCUGCCCUGGUAACGGACACUUGCGCCCCGAAACACCCUUCCCAGCAAGUAAACUUCCCAGGAAGCGCCCAGGCGGGAUUUCUCCUGCUGCCCUCCUAGGCAACCCCCGCAGCCCGGCUAGCCCUGCCGGGCUGGUGAUUUGCCGGGCAGUUUGUGCGGAGCUGCCCGGGGUGCGAUCGUUCCGGGGAGCAAACGAGGUGGCCCUCAUGCAGCGGUGGUACCCUGGGUGCCACUGCUGCGACAAUUUGUAUUCUUUAUUUGCUUCUAUGAAAUUUUGACACUUUGUAAUUAUGAUUCUAUGAAAUUUUGACACUUUGUAAUCAAUGUCGUGAAGUGAGAUACUUUUGUAUUCUUUAUAUGCUUUAAAUGAUACGGCUUUAUAUACAUUUGUAUGGUUUAAAUGAUGUGAUGUGAUCUACUAUGAUGUGAUGCGGCUUUAUAUGUAUUUUUAUGUGCUGUGUUGUAUAUACAAUCUGUGCUGUGAUGUAUAUACACUUAUGUGUAUUUCCUGUGUAUUUUCCGUGGUUUUAAUUUUUAUUUAAAUACCGAAAAUGUAUCAGUGUCGGUCGCUCGACCGACACUGAUGUGGCAAUGCGACCGUUAUUGAUGAUAUAUACAUCAGUAACGGUCGUGUCAGCCUGCCCGCCACUGAUGUAUGUAUACAUCAGUAACGGUCGUCCAUCACUGCGACCGUUACUGCAGAUGGUACAUCAGUAGUUACUGAUGUAUAUAUCAUCAGUAACACGAAGUUAGCAACGGCGGCCCCGACCGUUACUGAUGUUGUUUUUCGACCGUUACUGAUAGACCUUUCUGUAGUAGUGAAGUACCAAUAAAGAGUCUGUUUGGUUGAAUAGUUUAUAUGCUGAGCUUUGUCAAGAGGUUUCUUGCAUUAAUCUGUUUUGUGACGGUCAAAGGGCUAUUUACCUUACUAAGGAUCAGAUGCUCCAUGAGAGAACCAAGUACAUUGAUGUCAAGUACCAUUUUGUUCGCGACAUUGUUGCACAAGGUAAAUUAAAGGUAUGCAAGAUCAGCACUCAUGAUAAUCCUGCUGAUAUGAUGACAAAGCCUGUUCCUAUUGCUAAGUUUGAGCUAUGCUCAAGCUUAGUUGGUAUAACUGUUUAGCCCCUAGUGGCUGUUGGCGCCGAAAGUGUUUUCUUUGUUGUUUCAGGAGUUUUUGCUGUUCAUGCUACAAGGAGGAAUUUGUUAUAAGGAGUUUGUCUCAAGGUGGAGUUUGUUGGUUUCUGUUCCAAAUUCCUAGGGGCCGGAAGUUCGGCGGAACUUCCGGCCAUUCCAGGCACCGGAACUUCCGGCCCAACUUUCGGCCGAACCUCUUGAUGCUCUCUGUUACAUUUCGGGGUGCGGAACUUGCUGCGGAACUUCCGGAUAUUCAAGAAUAUGCGGAACUUCCGACCUCCAACCGGAACUUCCGGUGUGACCGUUACGGAUCUGAGUUGCCCUAAUGCUCCUACUAUAUAUACCUCUUGUAUGCCGCCGUUUUGGGAUGAGUUGAGUUCAUGAAAUCUCCCUGGCGUUGUAAACACUCCCCAUAUAGUGAAAUUUCGCUGGCUGGCGCCCGUGGUUUUUCCCUCGCGUUGUUUGAGAGGGUUUUCCACGUUAAAUCCGUGUGUCCUUGUGCUGUGAUUUCUUCUUCGUUCUUCAUUCUUGCUUGUCGCGUUCAUAACAAGUGGUAUCAGAGCCCCAGGUUCCGCCUAGGGUUUGCGACAUGUCUACCUUGAAGUUCGAUCUGCCGCAGCUGGACUACAGCACACGAUUCUCGUCCAAACUUCAGAUCUGGAUGAAGCGCUUGAUUCCUUCGGCAAGAAGGAUGAAAAGGAGUGGACUGCCAAAGAGAAACGCAAAGAUCGUAAGGCUCUGUCUUUGAUUCAACUUCAUCUGUCCAAUAAUAUUUUGCAGGAAGUGUUGGAGGAGAAAUCCGCCCUGUGGCCGAAACUGGAAUCGAUCUGCAUGUCUAAAGAUCUAACCAGUAAGAUGCAUGUAAAGAUGAAGUUGUUCACCCAUAAGCUGCAAGAAGAUGGAUCGGUAAUAUCUCAUAUAACUGUUUUUCAAGAGAUAGUUUCUGACUUACAAGCUAUGAGGUUUUAGAAGCACAUAGACAGAAAGAAAAUAUGAAGUCUAUGGUGCAGACCGAUGGGUCGUUGUCAAAGGCAGAAGCUCUGUAGGUUCGCGGCAGGACCGAGCAGAGGAAUAAGAACUACGGCAACCGAGAUAAGAGCUGGGACGGAAAAGCUCGUUCAAAAUCCCAUGGAAAAGAUAAGUUCUGCAGGUAUUGUAAGAAAAAUAAUCAUGUCAUUGAAGAUUGUUAUUGAAACGAUCCCCCCCUUACAGGGUUCGAUCUCUGUGUUUAUUUGUGCUAGUCCCAGGAUCGACUCACUAGCAUACACAGUUUCAAAAUGUAAUACCAAGAUACAAAGGUCAAAAUGUACUUUAUUACAUCGUAUCAUCCAGAACUUAAUUGUACUUACAAAUUUGCAUAACCCCUUGGGUCAGCAUAACAAAUAGAGUUUCAAGAUAACAAAAAAUAUUGUUUCAAAAACUUGCAGCGGAAAGGUAGAGCAAAUGGGCCUCAACUACUCCCAGAGGAGAGAGCAUGUUGGAAUGUAAGCACAUGACCCAAAGAACAUCAACGAACCUCACUCUUCGUCAGAUUCACCUGCAAUAUUAAUUGCAGCCACUACGUGGUCAAUACAAUUGAAUGUAUUGGCAAGUUCACCAAAAGGUUAUAACAGACCUAACAAGUAUAUGCAGUAUUUAGCAAGGUGGAGUUCAGGCUGUUUGCGUGGAAGCAGAACAUAAUUUACCCUAGUACAAAUAAAUGUUACAAUAAUGUUAACUAAUGGACAACGGGUAGAAACACCGAUGCUCCUAUUAAUCUAUGGACAUUGAGUAGAAACAUCAAUGCUCCUAGACCCAAGUUCAAACCAUUCAUUUUAUUUAAGAAGUUGGAAUGAGUGAGACUUUCCUUACAGCCCCCAAAUCUAGUUGCUCAUGAUUGUCCGUAACUGGGGACACGGCUAAGUACUUAGUUUGACACACUCGAAAGGUUGUACACAUUCCCCACAAGAAAUCGACGUGUUAAUCCCUUGCUGUCCUCCGAGUGGAGUAGCAACAGCACCGACUUCAAGAAUUUUUAGAACAUAUUCACCCAGACCACCUGAGGGACCCGCGCUCCCACCUACACAACUACCUCAGUACAAUCCCUCGGAUCUGGGUUCAUAUUUCUUACUCCAUCCAGCCAGAGCCCAUUUAGCUUGUGGUUGCACUGGAAGCUACUAAACAGGAAACUAGUCCAGUCUCUGAUACCCCAAGGUGGCAUUCCACAUUUGCGACGCAAGCGCUCCCCGAAUCCAUGGAAGAGACGUCCAUGGAUGAUCCGUCUCCGAAUCCAUGGAGACUCGACUCAGAGGGACCCAUAGAAAUGGACCUAACGUCGCAUAACAUCUCAAAAUCUCAAAGCAGUCCACCCAGGAUGGUUCAUUAGGGUUGUUUUGCCAAGUUUCCAAAAUCACUCCACAUCAUCAUUUCACAGUGAUUGAGAUUCCCUCCCACGUUUACUAACAUAGCAUGGCUAAGCAAUACUAAUCACGAUGGCUAUUGGUGGAGGAUUCAUGGCAAAGGUAACCCUAUAGCUAGUAGGUCAAUCAUAGCUAGCAUAAGUAUGAGUAAUAGUCCUAUCAAUGCAUUCUACAAACAACUCUAAUGCAUAAGUGUUUUAAAAACAAACAGAAAUAGGAUAUGAUCAAAGUGAACUUGCCUUGGUAGCAGUUGGAGUUCAAACACUCGUCACAAUCACAAGGUUCGCUCUCCGAGAAAACUAUUCAAAUACAAACAAAUAUACACACACAUAAACACACAAUUCAAAUCACGACAACAGAAUGUAUGCUAUGAUGCAAUGCAAACAUGUGACAUGAUUGGGUUUAUUUUAUUCGGGUGAUCAACUGAUCCUAAGCAUUGGUAAUUAAAACACAAGCAUUAGGGUUUUAAACAAAAGGCAAAAACAAUUGAUUAAAACCCUAAAUUAUAGUUUUAUUGGCAUCAGCCAAAUAAUUUAAUUCAAAAUAUUUAUUUCUCUAUCCCAAUGGACAGAGGAUAAUAAAACAAAUUUUUGGGCACUGGUUUCAAUUAAAAAGGAUUUAUAAAUAAUUAGUUAUGAAUUAAAUGGCAUUAAACCCUAUUCUGUAAAUUGACUGUGAUUCAAAUAUUCAAAUUUAAAAUUCGACAGUGCCAAAAGUUUCUACAGGUUGAGAGCUUUCCAAAAAGGUAAAGUUUGUCAAAUUUUUCCAAAGGGUUUAAAAGUUAUAAGCAUUUGAAGUUACAGGGGAUUUUCUGCAAAAGUGCCAUUUAAUUAAACCGGGCAUUUAUAUAUUUUCAUUUUGACAGGGACACGUGGCGCUUCCUAAUUGGACGAUACCGGUUCGUUUAAAUGAAAUAAUCUCGAUCUAAUCUCGACCGUGGGGAUGAAACGGACGGCCGAGAUGCGCUAGGGUUUACCUGGCGGCGGCGGCGCUCGUCGGAGACAGGGAAGACAGCGGCGCGGCACGGGAGGCGACGGCACGGGUGGUUCCGGCGAUGCGGGCGGCCCGGGGAAGCGCGCGGGAGGUGAGGCGAGACGAGGUCCGAGUCGGGGGCGGGGUCGGCGCGGCUUGGGGUGGUCUGACGCCACGCCUAGGACGAUAAUGGCGACGGCGGGCGGAGGUGGAGCUCCGGUGACGACGGCGACGGGCUGCGGUUCACGAAAACGAAGACGGUGCGUGUCAAAAGAAGCGCAUGGAGAAGUAGAAGAGGAGGGGGCAGAAGAUGGGGGCUCGAACCUCUUGGUUCGCUGGCGACGAAGGAAAAUGGCGGCGGGCGGCGCUAGGGUUUCGGUGAGCAAUCGCGGCGGCGUGGGCGCGUAAGAGAGGGGGCGAGCAGAGGGGAAAGAAAGCGGAGGGGCGGAGCUUAAUAGGGACGCGCUAGGGUUGCUUCGGGAAGGCCGGGAUCAACGGGAUUCCGGAGAUGGCAGCGGCGGGAAUCCGGCGCGGACAUGACGGGCGGCGUGGGCGCUUUCCUUCGGGGACGAAGCCUGACAAGUGGGCCCCACCUGUCAGCGGCUGCGGCCGCGCACGCAUGCGGCUGGGCCGGCUCGGGGAAGCGCGGUCGGGACGGGGCCGGUUCGGCCCAUUCGGCCGGACCGGUCCGGUUUCUUUCUUUUUUUUUCUUUUAGCCUUUUCUUUUUCCCUUUUUCUUAUUUUUCUUUGAUAUCUUUUGAUUUUGAACUCCAAAUUGAUCCAAAUAAAUUCCAGAAAAUUUGUAAAAUCAUGUUUUAUCAUGAUUCAACUUUUGGGACUAAUUUCCCCUCAAAAUAAAAUAUAUAAAAAUACAUUUUCCCUAUAAUGCCUUUAGGGCUAUAUAUCUAUUAAAAUAAAAUAGUUUUUCAACUCCAAAUAAUUAUUCAAAAAUUAUGGGAUUGCUUAUUUAUGCAAUAAACCCCUUUUAUAGAUAAACCCUAUUGGUUUGAAGAUCCAAAGCUCAAAUGGGUGAAAACCCUAGGGUUUAAAAUGAAAUAAAAACUUUUAAAGCCUUUUGAGAUUCAAAUUUGAAUUCAAAUAUGCAAUUGUGGCAUGAUGCUCAAGGAUGCAAUGCACAUGAAAAGGUUUGAAAUUUUUGGGAUGUUACAGUUAUAAACUGCAGAACAAGGAGAAAAGGAACGGUACCUACAAACCAAAGAUAAGUCCGAUGGUACUGGUAAGGCCGUUGUCGUUUCCACCGACAGCUCUGAGGGUGAAUGCCUCGCAGUUCUUGCUGCUUGUAUUUCCCGUGAUGACGAAUGGAUUCUUGAUACAGCAUGUUCCUUUCAUAUUUCUUGUAACAAGGAUUGGUUCAGUUCUUAUGAGUCUGUGCAGACUGGAGAUUUUGUGCGUGUGGGCAAUGACAAUCCUUGUCAUAUUGUUGGUGUUGGGUCCGUUCAGAUCAAGACCCAUGAUGGCAUGACACGCACGUUGAAAGAGGUGAAGCACAUACCAAGCAUGGCAAGAAAUUUGAUCUCACUUAGUACCAUGGACUGUGACGGGUACAAGUACGCCGGUGGGCGUAGACUCUUGAAGAUAUCUAGAGGUUCUCUUAUUCACAUGAUAGGUGAUAUGAAUUCUGCCAAAUUAUAUGUUCUUAGAGGUAGCACUUUGCCUGGUUUUGCUGCUGCCAUUACACCUAAUGAUUCUAAUGAUUGUGCAAAAACGAAUCUGUGGCAUAUGCGUCUUGGGCAUAUGAGUGAACAUGGGAUGGCAGAGUUGGUCAUGAGAGAGCUCAUUGAUGGCUACAACUUGAGUAAGCUUGAGUUCUGUGAGCACUGUGUUUAUGGUAAGCACAAAAGGGUUAAAUUCGUUUCUUCUGUUCAUACCACCAAAGGCAUAUUAGAUUAUGUGCAUGCUGAUGUUUGGGGACCCUCCCGUAAGACUUCUAUUGGUGGUGCUAAUUAGAUGCUUACCAUUAUUGAUGAUUACUCAAGAAAAGUUUGGCCUUAUUUUCUGAAACACAAGUUUGAUGUUUUUGGUGCUUUUAGGAAGUGGAAAGCUAUGGUAGAAAAGCAAACUGAAAGGAAAGUAAAAAAAUUUGCGUACUAUAAUGGUGGUGAAUUUAUUUCUGAUGAGUUUCAGAAGAUUUGCAGCAAUGAUAGUAUGGUUAGGCACUACACGGUUGCCCGUACUCCACAGCAAAAUGGUGUGGCUGAGCGCAUGAACAGAACCAUCAUAUCGAGGGCCCAUUGCAUGUUGUCCAAUGCAGGUUUGGGCAGGCGUUUUUGGGCUGAGGCAGCUUCCACCGCAUGCUACCUCAUAAACAGGUCACCUUCUAUUCCACUUGAUAAGAAAACUCUCAUUGAGGUAUGGUCUGGUAAACCUGCUGAUUAUUCACAGUUGAGAGUUUUCGGUUGCACCGCUUAUGCUCACGUUGAUAAUGGAAAGCUAGAGCCUAGAGCUGUUAAGUGCCUUUUUCUUGGCUAUGGUUCUAGAGUUAAAGCUUUCAGGUUGUGGAAUCCUGAAGCUAAAAAGAUUUUGCUGAGCAGGAAUGUUGUCUUUAAUGAAAAAGUUAUGUAUCAUGAUAGUUUGUCCACUGAUGCCUCUCGCAUUGAAGAGGAGAGACUUAAAGUGAAGGUGGAGCACGUUGAUGAAAUUGUUGACAACGAUAAUGCUCAGGUUGAUCAUGGUAAUGAUGAUGGGAACAAUGAUAACAAUAAUGAUGAUAUUGUUCCACCAUCACCACCUGUUUUGCAGCAACCCACACGGUCUAUUGCAGCUGACCGUCCAAAGAGGAAUAAAGGUCCUCACCCACGUUUAAUUGAAGAGUGUGAUCUUGUUUAUUAUGCUUUGACUUGUGCAGAACAGGUGGAGCAUGAUAGUGAACCGGACACAUAUAAUAAAACUGUUAUUUCCGACGACCGUGUGAAAUGGUUGUCUGCCAUGCAAGAGGAGAUGCAAUCUCUUGAGAAGAAUGGCACAUGGGAUGUUGUACCCUUGCCUAAACAAAAGAAGGCCGUUCGCUGCAAAUGGAUCUUCAAGAGAAAGGAGGGUUUGUCUCCUAAUGAGCCUAUGAGGUUUAAGGCAAGGUUGGUGGCAAAAUGUUUCAGUCAAAUAUCAGGUAUUGAUUACAAUGAUGUGUUCUCUCCAGUGGUAAAGCAUAGUUCCAUCCGUACUUUCUUUGGUAUUAUUGCUAUGCAUGAUCUUGAGCUUGAACAGUUAGACGUGAAGAGUGCAUUUUUGCAUGGAGAGCUUGAGAAGGAAAUAUACAUGGACCAACCUCAAGGGUUCAUAGUUCCUGGUAAAGAGGAGUUUGUGUGUAAGUUGAAGAAGUCCCUUUAUGGUUUGAAGCAAUCUCCUAGACAGUGGUAUAAAAGGUUUGAUUCAUUUAUGAUCUCACGUGGCUUUAGUAGAUCUCAGUAUGACAGUUGUGUCUACAUUAAAUUUGUUGAUGGAUCAUCUAUAUACUUGCUGUUAUAUGUUGAUGAUAUGUUAAUUGCUACCUAGAGCAAGAAAGUAAUCACUACUUUGAAGGCACAACUAAGUAGUGAAUUUUAGAUGAAGAAUCUUGGUGCUGCUAAGAAAAUACUAGGUAUGGAAAUUAAAAGGGACAGAAAUCUAGGUUGCUAUUUCUUAGUCAGCAAGGUUACAUUGAGAAAGUACUUCACCGUUUUAAUAUGCAUGAUGCAAAGUGUGUUACUACUCCUAUUGCUUCCCAUUUCAAGUUGUCAGCGUUGCAAUGUCCUACUUCUGAUGAAGAUAUUGAGUAUAUGUCACGAGUUCCCUAUUCUAGUGAUGUUGGUUCCUUAAUGUAUGCCAUGGUUUGUUCACGUCCUGAUUUAUCAUAUGCUAUGAGUUUGGUCAGUCGUUACAUGGCUAAUCCCAGUAAAGAACAUUGGAAAGCUGUUCAGUGUAUUUUCAGGUACUUCCGUGGCACAUCCAAUGCUUGCUUGAAGUUUGGCAAGACUGAUGAGGUACUCGCUGGCUAUGUGGAUUCAGAUUUUACUGCCGACUUGGAUAAGAGGAGAUCCCUCACAGGUUAUGUGUUCACGGUAGGUGGAUGUGCGGUGAGUUGGAAGGCAACACUGCAACCAGUUGUUGCUCAAUCUACAACCGAAGCAGAAAAUAUGGCUAUUGCUGAAGCUUGCAAAAAAUCUGUUUGGUUGAACGGUUUAUAUGCUGAGCUUUGUCAAGAGGUUUCUUGCAUUAAUCUUUUUUGUGGCAGUCAAAGUGCUAUUUACCUUACUAAGGAUCAGAUGCUCCAUGAGAGAACCAAGUACAUUGAUGUCAAGUACCAUUUUGUUCGCGACAUUGUUGCACAAGGUAAAUUAAAGGUAUGCAAGAUCAACAUUCAUGAUAAUCCUGCUGAUAUGAUGACAAAGCCUGUUCCUAUUGCUAAGUUUGAGCUAUGCUCAAGUUUAGUUGGUAUAACUGUUUAGCCCCUAGUGGCUGUUGGCGCCGAAAGUGUUUUCUUUGUUGUUUCAGGAGUUGUUGCUGUUCAUGCUACAAGGAGGAAUUUGUUAUAAAGAGUUUGUCCCAAGGUGGAGUUUGUUGGUUUCUGUUCCAAAUUCCUAGGUGCCGGAAGUUCGGCGGAACUUCCGGCCAUUCCAGGCACCGGAACUUCCGGCCCAACUUCCGGCCGAACCUCUAGAUGCUCUCUGUUACUUUUCAGGAAAUUGCGGAACUUGCUGCGGAACUUCCGGAUAUUCAAGAAUAUGCGGAACUUCCGGCCUCCAACCGGAACUUCCGGUGUGACCGUUACAGAUCUGAGUUUCCCUAAUGCUCCUGCUAUAUAUAUGAUGAGGACAUCCCAACUAAUGAUACAACCACAGCCCCUACAGCACCUACACCUCAAGUACCGGAGAUACAUGGACCAAUUACUAGGGCUCGUGCACGACAACUAAAUUAUCAGGUACUUUCGUUCCUCGGUACUUCAUUUAAUAUUAAUGAGAAUAUGCUGCUGCCUAAGAUGGGUUCUUUUAUGUGUUUUAGGAAUGAAGGACCUAGCUUGGACCUCAAGGAUCAGCGUUGGACAGCAAACCAUGGAGGUGGCAGCAAGGUGGCGGGAGUUAGCUCAAGUGUUGAAUUCAGAACAUUGAAACCGCCAUAAAGAGAUGAGAAGAAGGCCGCAUCCUCUUCAUCAAUGGAAUUUCGGCCAAGUGGAGGAUUCCCCCUCCAAAGGGUAUCUAUGGGCCAAAGAUGAGUGUUAUAAUCUUGUUUUAUUGGGCCUAAGGCCAUGCAAUAGGGUCCAGCCAAUUUUUAGAUGUUUUCGUUGUGUUUUAGGAGGAUUCCUAGGCCGUUUCGGAGUCCCACAAGGGCCUGGCUGAAAACCACCUAGUUCCCCUCCUAUUUAUACCCCAUGAGCCUCCCUAUGGAGCCUUGGGUUUUAUUAGAUAAAGUUUAGCCUUUGCUACUUUCGUGUAAUCGCGUGUGUCGGUUAGACCACCUGUUUUACCGUCAUCAAGACUCCAACUAUAUUGAGUAUUCAGAUUCGUGAACCUUCAUAUCUCCUAUUCGCAAUUUCAGAUUGCUUUUCAUCUUGUUCUUGCUUGUUCUUCGAUUGCUUGCAGGAACAAAGACCUUCGUGGUCAGGUUGAUCGUGCCCCCGCGAGAUCAAUAACCUUUUGGAGUUGGUGUAUCGAUUGCUAAGGCGCUGCCUCCUAGGUUGUAGUCGGAUCGUCAACGUCACCUCCUACCAAAUCGAUAAUUAGGUAUCUCAUCGAAAGAUCGGGACACCCUCGAGGCUAUCACGUGGUAUCAGAGCUUAAGGUUGCUCGGUGAGAGCGUGCGGGAACAGGGAAACAACGGUUGGGAUAGGGGGGGGGGGGCGGGGGGCACGUGCUGUUCGCUGGUUGGUUGUGCGGGGUGAACGGUCGACUCCCGGGCUUAUGGGGGCUUUGGAGGCCCAUUUGUGCUUUUUUUCUCAAAUUUAGGCCUUCUUUUGGCCGAAUUUUACCUAUAAAUAGGGCAUUUCAUUUGCAGAAUUUUCACACUCAAACCACUCCUCCCCUCUCAAACAUGUUUGGCUUCAUACGCAUUACGCCAAAUCCACCAUAUGAUCCAAACAACCCCAAUUCUUAUGAGUUCCCACUCACAGAUUACGGCCUAAACUACAAAGAUCCCACAUACGCCGAUGUCCUAAAUGCCCAAGAAUCAAACUAUCGGGAUCAACAGGCCGUUUAUCUGGGGCCGGGGCCGGCCCGAUAGCCAGGCAUAGUGGCGAUCUGUCUACGGGAGAAGACGUAUCAGACUAUCGAGAUCGACGUGCCUGGUAGUUGGACUCAGGGGAGGGGUACUUUUGGACGUAGCAAAGAAAACUGGGCCAAAAAAACUAGGUCCUCUCAAAAAUAAAUAUAAAAAUACUAGGUUAGUCCCGCCGAAAAAAACUAAAAAUACUCGGUUAGUCCCUCGAAAAAAAUCUAAAAGCACUCGGUUUUUCUAAAAAACACUAGUUUGAGAAGUGUUUUAAUUUGGUUAAAAAAAUAGAGUGUUUGUUGGUGAAGUUAGGAAUAAUCCUCUCCAAACUCUUCCUACCAAACAACCAUUUGAGAUUUGUAAUGUUUUUCAAUUUGAGGGGUCUAUACCUAAAAACAUCUCAAAAACUCCAAUACCAAACAGGGCCUAACCGAGAUAAAUUCCUUUUUUAAAUAUUGCUAACCGGUUAAGACUGAAUUUUCCGGUUUUGAUACAUCGGUGCUCGGUUAAUAUGCCCAUCCCUGAAUACAACACAGUUUUCUAGAAACACUCUCAGAAAAAUCGUGAUGCUACGGUGUUCUCCUGUUCAUAUUAUUUUCCUUUUUCUUGCAGUAGAGGGGCCGGCGGCAGGUUUUGCACAAAGCUCUAGAAACUUGAAUUUGAUGGAUUAUUUUGAUUUUCGUAGGAAAAACCAAAGGGGACAAGAAGACGACUAAGCAAAAAACAAGUUUUCACUGCCGCUAAAACGAAGGAUUAAGUAAACGGCCUGGCAUUAUUUGUUUAAUUAACUGAAGUACAUUUGAUCAAACACACAUAACAAAAUUAAAAGUUAACUCAAGGAUCUUUGAAGUCGACACUAGCUCCAUCUUUUGCAUCUUGCAUGCGUCCAUAGCAAUUGUGAAAAAACUAAGGAACAGCUGAAGCUCGUCUUUGCAAAAAUGAAAUUGUUGACCGCUUCAACGUCAUCACACCAGCGAUCGCUGCCGUUGCUUGUCAAUGAUACUCCGUGCCGUGAACAACUCGUACCAUUUCCGGGGGGGCACCCCCGCACCUGAGUCGUCCACUCCGGCCUCGUUCCGCUCUGCUUCGGCCUAUCUGCCUCCACUCCGACAAAAGUCUACCUUCCCGAUGUAUCGUCACCAUGCACUUUUACGGAAUGGGUUAUCAGUCCACUAACUUGGCUUCUUGUCAGCGAUGCGUCGGCGUACCACAUCAGUGGCGGGCAGCAGGUGAGGAACCGACAGUGAUAGUAGUUUUGCCCAAAUAAAGAAAACAGGCCACAGGCCCGCAUCUUCUACAAAUCAAACAAAUUAAUCCAAUGAAACAACAAAUCCGGAUGCGUAUAGUCUAAAUCAACAAAUCACAGUACAAUCUAAAUCCACAAAUCACAACAAAUCACUGGAAGGCGUUGGCAGCUAUCUCCACAAGUCCACGGCGGCAACGGGAACCCGCGGGCUUCGUGUCCUCGGCGGCGGCAGUAGGGGGAGAGAGAGAGAGGGAGAAAGAAUCGUGAGAGAGAACCAAGAGAAGAGAGAGCUCGAAAGAACAUAGAGAGGAACAGGCUUACCAGGAUCCGGGGGGACACAUCCCAUGGCGGCACCCACUGGCCGUCGGCGUCGACCUCCUCGUCUCCAUGGCUGCUCCUCUCCACGGCGACCCACGCUGCAAAAGAGAGAAAAUAAGAGGGAGGGGGAGAGGCCUAGAGGCUCCAUGGCGGCGGCGGCAUGGACCCGCGCUCCCGGUCCGGAUCCGGCGGCUCCCUAUCCGGAACCGUGAGGGGCGCGGCCGGCGGCGGGUCGAGC